GCGUGUGAGGCGGUUUCGGCGUGGGGGUAGGCUUGUGCGGCGGUGUAGGCUUAGGAGAGUGCGGCGGCGGAGGGCAGGGCACGGACGACGGAGGCGUCAGCUUACGCGGAGGUGGCGGAGGAGGAAUUGGUUUGGGGCAGGACGGGCACGCCGCCGACGGCGUGGGCUGCACGGCGAGGGAGAGCAGCGCCACCAGCAGGAGCGGGGCAAUCCGGGCCAUCAUGCUCUUGGAGCUUGAUGUCAUAAUAAGAGUACUUGGUAGCUAGCCACCGCUCGAUCUAUGUAAUUUCUUGUUCUUGCCCAACACAAUGUCUGAGGAAGAAGAAGAAAGCGGGCGUGCUUAUAUAGGCGAGCUAGCGAGCGUGAGGUGGUGGAGCGACGAGAGGAGCCGCUCUCGUGCACUGUCUUGGUCGACAUGCAUGACGACGUUCCCUGGACUAUCGGGCGUGGAUUAACAAUGAGAUGUGUAUGUGAGGAGAAGAUCGAUCGUGUGGUCGACAUAUGAUAGUAUACACGUACUCCACUUGGUUGAUUCAAGUGGAGUACUACGGAGCGAGCCAGACGUACGUUCGACUGUCUCUCGUUCCACGUUCUGCUGAUUCUUUUCUUUCCUUCUUUCUGCAUGUUAUUGUCUUUGAGGAACAAAUAGUAACUGGGUUGACGGCUAGUUGGCAGGGCUAAACAUGCUCUUAGCCUCUGGUGAUCAAUUUUGAGGUGUAGACAUACAUAGAUAGAGACAUGUACCUGCUCCUAUCUUUAUCGAAAAAUGUAUAUGCUCCUACACUGUACGUAGCCUCCAACGGUCAAUUACAUGAUUGCCGCUUGAAAUCUUAGUAAUCCAUGCAAAAGAAAUCAUAAUCAGGGGAAUUAGAUUACGUACAUAUGUAUGAUUGGCAGCCAUGAGAGCUGGAUUACGUACGUAGGCACGUGCAUCUGGACGUAGAAACUAGAAAGAAAAACUAUGGAUGCAUGCGGUCUUAGCCAGCUAUGUAGCACCCUAUCCAGAUAUUCUACUCCACGGAUCUCGUUUGACAAGAAAACAUGCGCGCAUGUGUGCUAGUUUCAUCCACAGACAAAACCCCAACGAUUACAUUUUACACAAACUAGCUAGCUCGACAUGAUAUGAUUGCCAGCAGGCCGGUUGCCCAUAGUAGGUGCAACUUGGCAACUAAUCCUGCAGCCAGCCCAGCUAACGCUAGGCAAUAACUAGCAUGUCGUUGGCAAUACCGAAACUACGAGCAACUGUUGAAAGGAAUCCAACCACAUUGGCCAGGGCAUAGCUUUUCACCCAGCAGGAGAGUGAAUGAAUUGACAUGCUCAAAUCUUAGCCAGCUAUAGCAGAUAUUUUCUAGACUACACACAGAUAUAAUAUUUGACAAGAUAACUUGCAUACAUGUGUGCCAGCUCCACCCACACAUCCAUGGACCCAUGGAUUACAUUUUACACACACACGCACACAAGCUAACAAAAGGCACGAUGCAUGCAUGAUUGCUAGAGGCAAGCAGAGUUGCCCCGUAUACCUGCAACUUGCUUACAAAUCCUGCAAGCUGCCUAGCUACGCUAGAGGUAGCCCGUGUAGAUGCAAGCUGCAAAUGCUUUGUCCCGGGCCGUUCAAAUCACGACGCGCCAUACACGGGAAGGCUUGGCGCCUUCCCGUGCCGACCUAGGCGUAGCUAUCUGUCCGUCUGUCCGCCUUCACACCCUGCAGCUAACCGGAUGGAUCGGUCCUUGGAUCGUAGCGUGGAGGCCGCUACAUGCCAGUGAUCGAUUGGGAAACUAGCGGGCGCCCUGUUUGGGAGGGUUCAUGAAUCAUGAGUGCUUAUUCACACUACCGGAAGCUUAGUAAUCCCUAAGGCUAGUAUCAUAUUAUCAUACAUAUGAUAUAUUCAUACUUCCUCUGUCUUAAAUAUAAGGUUUCUAAAGAUUUCACUAUGAACUACAUACGAAUGUAUAUAGACAUACUUUAGAGUACCAAUUCAUUUAUUUUGUUUCGUAUGUAUUCUGUAGUGAAAUAUCUAAAAAGACUUAUAUUUAGAAACAGAUGAAGUAGUUCAUAUUAUUACAUAAAUUAGUAUCAUAAUUGAUGUUAUUUAUUGUCAUGUAUGACACGUAGUAGGAUAACAUUUAUUAUGAUACGUUACCUAUCUAUGGUGCUCCAACUCUUCUUUUUUCCUUUUAAUUGUCUGCCCCGAACCUGGUAAUCCUUCAAAAGGAGCAUCACACUUGUUGUUAUGGAAAUAUUUGGUGCAUCAGCACCAUCGAUAUCAAUGCAUUGACACAAAAUUUCAAAUGUAAAUUUGAUUUUAUAUAGUAGUGAAAGAGAAGAUGAAUACAUCUGCUUGAAAUAAGAAAUUCAUCCGAAAUAAAGGAGGGAGAUAACAAAGUUAUUGCUGGUCUGAUGAGAAAAAAAAUAAGUUUAGUUAAGAAUAAUAUCAUGGCAAGUGUGCAAGCAUAUCUAGUCAUACAUGGAGGACAUAGUAUCCUGUACCCCCUCGUGUAAUCCAAAAACUUCAUCGUAAAAGUCACACAAAAAUCCAAGAGAAAUUAAAUGCAUAGAUACGUUGUGUAUCAAUCACAUCACAAAAUUUGUAUCCAAAGUUAAAGCAUGACACGUGAAAUGAAAAAUACAAGUCAGUUGUCUAGACACUUCAAAGUGGGUUGUGAAUUUGGCCAGUUAAAACUAUCAAUGCUAAAUUUGUCUUUUUCGUUUCUCGAGCAACAUAUAUUGGUCUGGGUUUGAAAUUUUGUGGUAAUCCUUUACAGUGUGGCCCACUCAGCCCGCCUAGCAUUUUGUGUAAGUUCUGCCACUGUAAAACUAGCUCAUCUCUACCAUGAACCAUGGCGAGCGAACGAGUUUGAUGUGUCGAGGCAAGCGAGUGAGUGCACAUAUUGCCCUCUUUCCCGUGCUACAAGGAGAAAUAUAACAAAAACAUAUUGUAUGUUGGUGCCCUUUUCUCCGUCGCUCGCUAUACGUGACUAAACUUUGUACACAUGACAUACAAGUCAAAUGAGACUUCAAGAAUUUCUAUCCUUAUGAACGUACACAUGCACAUUCUAUCCUUAUACACGCACAUAUACUCAUCUUAUGAACGUACACACACACAUUUUAUCCUUAUGAGUACCUUCUAGAGACUGAGCCGACAUAUCAUCUUGAGAUUUACGGAGUCAUCGUAGGCGCCUCGUGGUCGACGAAAACGUCUCCUUCCCACUGAAAGCGUAUCGCGAAAAUUUUGAAAUAAAUCCAGCAAUAAUGCAAGUAUCAGGAUUUAAACCCUGAUGGGCGGGGAUACCACAAUCCCACCCAACCACAGGUUGGUUUGCUUCUAGGGUUUUAUUAAGUUGUACUCUUUCCAUUCCUAAAUAUAAGUCUUUUAAGAGAUUUCACUAAGAGACUAUAUACAAAGAAAAAUGAGUGAAUCUAUACUCUAAGGUAUGUCUAAAUACAUCCGUAUGUAGUUCUAUAGUGAAACCUCUAAAAAGACUUAUAUUUAGGAACGGAGGGAGUAGAUUUUUAUUAUUUCUCAGUCGGCUCAAUCUUUUGUGCUGAUAUGUGCCUAAAUCGGUUCCAUGUGCGUAGGUUUUCAAGGUUGCUUGAUUGCAUGCACACAGUUGAAACGUAUGAUUGCAGUGGGAGCCUUUCCAACUGUUUCGGGGUCAAGGAAAAUUGGGAAGAUAUGGCAAAAACUUGCAGGAAUACAAACGAUUGCGCGCGGCCGGCCGGGUAUGCAUGCACGGCCCGCCCCGUGUUCAACCUAUUCGGGCGUGAAGGAAUAGCAAUGGCGGGGGCUACGACGGGCUACUGUAUUGCACGCGGCCGGACACGCAACGGCGCCAUGCACGGGUGUGCGCGUACGUACGUACGUGUCCAUGGUGCCAGCACGAGUGGACCAGCACACAUCACACACUCACAUACGCUUGCAUGCAUGCAUGCUUCAACGGCCAGCCAGCUGCACCCAUUUGCCUGCCAUGCAUGGAUUUUGUCCGAUCCGUGACAAGCCCGAAGAACCCGCUGUGGGUAUUGCAUGUGCCGUGUACAAUGCCAAACUUCUACACCAAGUGGUUAGCUUGGUAAGCUAGCUAUUAACAAAAAUGCAAUCACACUAGUGGAGAAAGGGGUAUUAGAACCGAUUGGUAAGGGCCUUUGGACCCGGAUACACAUCCGGUGCUACGUAUCCGGGACUAAAGCCCCCCCCCCCCCCCCUNNNNNNNNNNNNNNNNNNNNNNNNNNNNNNNNNNNNNNNNNNNNNNNNNNNNNNNNNNNNNNNNNNNNNNNNNNNNNNNNNNNNNNNNNNNNNNNNNNNNNNNNNNNNNNNNNNNNNNNNNNNNNNNNNNNNUGGGCGCCGAAGAGUGCGCGCAGGCGGAGGACCUUUAGAACCGGUUGGUAACACCAACCGAUCCUAAUGCUUUUUUUUUCUUUUUUUUUCCUUUUCUUUUCAGGGUUUCCGAUUCCGUAUUUCGGUGUUUCCGUGUUCCGUAUUUUCAGGGUUUUCGUUUACGUGUUUUCGGUUCCGUAUUUCCGUUUACGUCUUUCCGAUUCCGUGUUUCCGAUUCCGUGUGUCCGUGUUCCGUUUUUUACGAACACGGAAUCGGAAAUCACGUAUCCGGAAACACCGAUUCCGUGUUUGCGGUUAAGUGUUUCCGAUUCCGUGUUUGCGGUUAAAUGUUGAUGCACCAAAUAAAAGUACAUAUAUACAUGUAACACGAAGUACUGGACCGAUUAUCAUUACAUAAUUUGAAGUUCGUUUCCUAUAGCUGUAUACUUGCAUAGAGAAGGGAGCUGGCUAUUGGUUCAUAGGAUGGAAAAAUUCUCCGCCUUCAUCUAUGACUUGCGUGAGGAGAAAUCCUGCCAAUUCCUCUGCAACUGCCUUGCAACGUUGGAUUGGUCUGAGCAUCGCCCGCUUUCGUUGCAGCUUUAAAAGAAGUAGAUGAAAACAAUUAAGUUAUGAACAAAACUAAACAAAAUUGAUGGCAACAUAAAUAAAGUUGUGAAGAUCCGGUUACGUACCUCUAGAUUUCUGGAAGUACGGGAUUUCUCAUUGAUAAUCCUGUGAAUGUACUCGCAAACAUAGUAUCCACAAUAAUCAGUGCCCUGUGGUUGUUGCGGGACGCCCUAUAUACGAGAACAUAAUUCAGUCAAAUUAAUAAUAAUCAAGAGAAUGGUAAUGGUAUUGAAACCAGGGUACGUAGUACUACUUACUUUGUUAAUCUGAAAGUGGAGCUUGUCUGCCCAUGUACCGGGUUCUUCCUUGAUGAACAUUUGCCAAACCCUGUCCGACAAAGAAAAAUGAAUAGAAGAGUUAAUUAUUACUUACUUGAUAUCAGGAAAUGAACGAAAAAGAGGCCGAUGAACGAAAGAGGCCGAUAUAUAUAUACCUUUGAAGCAUCUGACGCGCGCUCUUCCAUGUGUCAGCGUCCCAGGUUAACGGGUCCCAGACUUCAACUUGUCCUUGAUCGAUUCUAAUGAUGAACAAUAUGAAGUGGGACCUGCGCACGUGUACACACGCAGUCAUGCAUACUCAUCAAUUACACUUAACAUCACGUAAGCAAAAUGGAAUGUGUACAAGACAGUAACACUCACUUGAAUCCGUAGGGCCAAAGUAUUUCUUUUUUGGUACUUUGUCGCUUCAAAAACCUUAGCAAAUCAUCCGGUGUAUCCUUGUUGAACUUUUCUAUUGUCUCUUGAUGAAACGAAUACGGGUCAAUGAACCCAAAGUCCCAGAUUCCUGCCAGCCUGCAUUCACGAAUCUUCAUUCUGCAUAGUAGCGUAUAAAAAGAAUGUCUCGUGAGUGAUAAUUAUACGGGCAAUGAACGCGAGCUUAACUAAAUAAUUAAAUUACACAAAUAAAUCACUUACAAACAGUAGCAGCUGACGAUAGCUUUGUCGAGGGCACGUUGAUUGUACAUCUGGAAAAAAUCAUCGAACCCAACCUCCACACCGUACUCUCCGAAGUAGUGUUGAUCCUGAACUGCCGUCAUGAUACAGUCUCUCUUUUGCCUUGCGGCCUCCAAGUACCAAACAUGUAAAUUCCAUAGUUGGGUUGUUAGAGCACUAGGAUUUUCGACCAGAGGGUGCUCGGGUUUAUAUUUAUAUACCACAUCAGCGAUCGUCGCCCUCAACAUCACCAGGGUCAUCUCGCCUGAUCUUAUACCGAAAUGCACCGCAUACCGGGCAGGCAUUUAAAUUCUCGUGCUGACCGCGGUAGAGGAUGCAGUCAUUGAUGCAUGCAUGUAUCUUAUGCACUUCCAAUCCUAGAGGGCAGAUAACCUUCUUUGCUUCGUACGUACUGCAGGGCAGCACGUUAUCUCUUGUAAGCAUCUUCUUCAUUAUUUUCAGCAGCUUUUCAAAUCCCUUGUCAGAUAUUCCAUUCUCUGCCUUCCAUUGCAGCAAUUCCAGGGUGGUGCCUAGCUUUUUGUGGCCAUCUUCGCAAUUUGGGUACAACAAUUUUUUGUGAUCUUCUAACAUGCGCUCAACUUUAACCCCUCGUUUUCACUUUCGCAGUUUAUCUGUUCUUCACGAAUGACCUGACGAAGAUCAUCAUCACACUCAUCAACAAUGUCCUCAAGUUCAGGCUCGUCUUCCCCCAUUUCAGUAUCACCGUGUUCACCGAACAUAGGAUAGUUAUCAUUAUCCUCUUCUUCUUCAUUGUCUUUCAUUACAACCCCUCUUUCUUCGUGCUUGGUCCAACAAAAAUAACUGGACAUGAAGCCUUCUUGCAACAGGUGGGUGUGUAUGGUUCUUGAGUUAGGGAAAUUUCUCUUAUUCUGGCAUUUUUUACAUGGACAAAAAAUAAAUCCAUUCUGCCUGUUUUUCUCAGCCACAUUGAGAAAACUAUGCAUGCCAUUAAGGAAUUCGGGACGACGUAGAUCACUGUACAUCCAUUGCCGGUUCAUCUGCAUUAUAUAAAUUUAUCAAAAACCAUUAUGCUAAAUCAUCAUGACUAAAUUAAUUAAUUAAUACAAAAAGUUCAUCACACGUUAAAACCAACGUAGCGUAGUGACCAUACAUAUAUAGUUCUCAUAAAAAUACACACUGAAACCAACCAUAAAAACUCUCUCUAAUUAAUGCAUUUAAAAACAACAACAAAUGCGAUCAAAAUCGCAACAAAGGUAACAAUUGACCCGACAGCAUAAUGAUACCAAGCCUCUUUACUAAUUGCAUAUUUUCUAAUCUUUCUAAUCUUCAGGCGCAUUGCGUCCAUCUCGCUCUUGUGACCAUCGACGACACCGGCAAGAACCUUUUCCAAGGUCAUCUUCUCUCUUUCAGUUUUUUCCAACCUUUCUUCAGUUUUUUUCAAUCUUUCUUUCAGGCCAACAUUUUCUUGUUCAACUAAGUGUAACUUCUCAACAAUAGGGUCGAUUGGCAUUUCCGGUUCCACUACCUCCUAGAUAAAAAUAUCUAUGUCAAGUUGGUCGGCGUAAUUAAUUGUCAUAUAAUCAGGAAAUGAAAAUAUGUAGUUAUAAAAGAUAAUAUACCACAUCCGAAUCAUAGACUGGCCAACGGGGACGGAUAUCAAAACCAUAGCGCUAUACAUAUAAAAAAAAUCUUACACAAUAAGAAAAUUAUAUACAAGUAAAUAUGUAAAUCAUACAAAUCAAAAUUUGUUUUGGUAAAUAAAAACAAUAGGCUCACCAAGGUUGUGUCGGUGACGGGGCGAUCGACGGCGGUGAGGAAGGGGACAAGGCGCGCGACACUAAAAAAAACCACAAAUCAUAAUUAAAUUUGAGCUCAAAUUACAUAUGUAUACAUAAAAAAUGAUGAACUCUCUCUAGCUUAGGCAUUUCAUCAAACACCUAGCUAGCACAACAAAAAUGAAAUGAGCAAGAAAACGAGCAAAACUUGCAAUGCCGGAAGAUGGAAUGUUGAUGCUAACCGUAGGACCGAUGGGUGCCAACAAUCUUAACAAAUGGUGAAGAAAAAUGGGGAUGGAUUAGAGCUCCCAAGAGGAAGGAGAGAGCAAAAAUGGAGUUGAGCUCGAGCUGGAAAAAAUGGAGCUGAGCUCGGAGUGGAAUAUAGGGGAGGGCUUUAGGACCGGUUUGUGUUAAAAACCGGUGCUAAAGGGUCUGACAGCGGGGCCCCGCAGUUGCUGCAAAAAUGAGAAAAACUUUAGCACCGGUUUGUAAUACAAACCGGUUCUAAAGGGUCGGUCCACUGGGCCCCCCUCCCUACAGCAAACGGUCCAAAACCCUUUAGGACCGGUUUGUGUUACAAACCGGUCCUAAAGGCCUUGCGGCCAUUUGCUGCAGGGAGGGGGCCCAGCGGACAGACCCUUUAAAACCGGUUUAUAUCCAAUCCGGGUCCAAUGUGGUUGGCUCAAUGCCCUGUUUUCUACUAGUGUCAGUCCAAAACUUCUACGCCGACUACCAUGUGUAGUAUUUGGAAAAUUCUACUAUGUCCUUAUCCGUCAUCCCUGCCGACUACUAUGUAUUCCCUCUAUAUAUCAUAUUAAAUGUAGUUAGAAAGAACUACUCUAGUUUAGUUUAUGGUAUGAUGAAGAGAGUAUUAGGAAAUUUCUAUGACCAAGUUAUUACAUUUUCUAAAUGGACGCUACUACACACCAACCAUUUGGUGUGCAGCAGCGUAGAGCGGUUGCCCUUAGUCGACCAUCAACCGUCUGAGAUCUCCAUCGGUGGGGGUUCAGUGUCGUCCGGUUGGGCCAGCUCUGGCCGUCGGAUUUACGUUGCCUUCCUCCCGCAUCUGUCUUUUGCCUUACCAUACCUCGGUUCAUGUUCAGACGCACCGGCAUCAUCCUGCGUAUAUUGGACGUCCGCCCGACCACCAUCCUUUGUGGACAGGCUCCCUCGGGCACCGACCUCGCCGCCCUCGUCACCGAUCACAACUCUCCCCUCCCCUCCCCUCCCCCUCCCUCCCGACGUCAUGGUGUCCAUGGCCGCAGCUCCAUCAUCAAGGGGUUGCAGCACACACCGAAAAACUGCCCCCACUGCCAGAGAACCACUCGUGACAGUUACAACUCCGCUUCCCAUGGUUGCAAUAUCACCCCGCAGCUCCUUCACCCCGCAGUCGUGUGCGGUUGCAGCUUCGCCGACAGCGAUUCCAGCAUCCCGCGUCACUUGUUGUAGCUCUGGUAGUAGUCGGUCCGAGUAAAAAUUGUCUUCAGUUGUUGCCUCACGGCAACAGUUCCAGCGCCCCACAUCGUCGGUUGCAGCUCUGCUAGUAGCUGGAUUAGCAAAAAAAUUAUCUUAGAUUGCAGCUUCACCGUGACAGUUCCAGCAUGCCGCAUCUCUGGUUGCAGCUCCCGUGUUAGUCGGUCCCAGCGAAACCCUCUCCUAGUAGCAGCAUUGCUUGUCGGUUGUAGCUCCGGUAGUCUCGAUCCCAUAAAAAAUGUUCGUCAGACCUAAAAAUCAUUCACCGGUCCGAGUUGUAGCUUUGGUAGUCGUAUGCUCCAACAAAAAGAUGGUUUCGCCCAUGUUGCAGCUCCUACUUAUCAGCCCGAGCAAAAUGACUCGUCGAUCCUAGCAAAUAUAUGUUUUGAUGCUUAUUUUAUUUUUCAUGCACAUUAAACAUUUUUGGUAUACAUGUACUCCGUAUUAAUUAUUUUAAUAUACAUUUAAUACUUUUCAACUACAUGAUUAAUAUUUUUUCAAACAUAUUUUUCAUGUCAAUUUUUUCAUACACGUCGUACAUUUUUCUUAUACACCAGGAACAUCUUUUAAAUACAUGGUUAACCUUUUCAAAUGCAGGUUUAACAUAUAUAUAUUUGAUGCCUACUUGUUUUCAUACACCUUGUACAUGUUGUUUAACACGUGUUUUUGAACAUUGUUGUUCGAAUAUGUGUUAAGCAUUUUUUUUCAAAUACAUCUUGAACAUUUUUUUCAAAUGCUACCAAUAUCUUUUAAAAGUUGCACCAACAUUUUUUAACACCUCACUUCAAACUUAAGUACUCCCUUCAUUCUCUUAUACAAGGUCAUUAUGGAAAAUACAUUUUACAUCUAUAUAAGGCCAUCAAUAGUAAUCGAGGCAAAAAGUAAUUAUAUUUUUUUGUAGUAACUUAUUUAAUACUUGCAUGCAUGUAGUCAUAAUGACACUUAGCUUUUUUCCUUCUCAUUUCUUCCCUGCAUGCAUAUGACGUAUUAAUGAUCCCGAUUAAUGAAAAAAAUUAGUUACAAACAAUCAUUAAUUUUUAUCUUGAUACCUGUAAUAUGAGUUUGUGGUCUUGUAUAAGGUAAUGAAGGGAGUAUUAUUUUUAAAAUAAAUGCAUUCUACUUUUUAAAAUAUAUAAAAUGAAAAUAAAUAAAUCGAGGACCAAACUAACGAAGCAAACGAACAAACAGUGCCGAUGGCCGGCCCAUUACUACAUCGCGUCAGACGAUGCGACAAGACAUAAUCGAUCCCUAUAAGUUGCCCUUAGGUUGAUCAUAGUAGGGGUAUCAUAACUAGUAUCAUAGUCUUGAGACUAGCAAACAUGGUGAUGUGGCAAGUAAUUAAAGAAAAGAGAGAGGGUUAGAGUAACAUAGGUAGAUACCGUAUCAUGUUAAAUGCUAUGCUACUAUGUGUCAUGCAUGUUAAUAAAUGAGAUCACCUAUAAUACUAGUUUUAUGAUACUAUGCGUUAUGAAGGUAGUAUUAUACAAUAAUAACAUAUGCAUGAUACUACUAUAUGUUACUCCCCACUAUGAGCAACCUUAGGCUGCCAAUGCACUUGUACCUAAGUGACGUGUUGAGUGUAUUAAAUGGCUUAGCCAUUAAGUAGGAUGAAAAUUUUGUGGCAUGUACUCAAAUACUCCCUCCGUUUCUAAAUAAUUCUAGUUGAAAAUAAUUGGUUUAGUUCACCCCAACUACAAUUAGUUAGGUAUAGAGAAAGUACAUAAUAUUCUGCAAGACACAGUAAAAUAAGUACAUGGAAAUGUAUUCAAUGAUUUGAAUGGAGUCUAGAAAGUAAGUACUGAACAUAUCCACAAGAACGAGGAAAUAUCGUAGAUCUUACUUUCAUUGAGGAAAUAACAUAGCUUUAGAUCAUCUCCAACAACCUUUAUAUAUUGGAUUGCUUAAAACUUGUUAUACCAAGAAGAGAGAGACACGAGCGUGCCUCUCGCGAAGGCAAAACUGUGCUUUUCGCGAAUGCAAAACCGUGCCUCUCGCAAAAAAAAAAAAACAGAAAACACGUUUUUUUCUCUCUUUCCGAGAGGCACGCCCGUGCCUCUCGUGAAGGCAAAACGGUGCCUCUCGCGGAAGUAAAACCGUGCCUUAAAAAAACAGAAACGUGUUUUUUCCGAAAAAAACAGAAAUCUUGUUUUUUCUAAAAAAUGAUUUUUUCCGUCCAAAAUUAUGAAAGAUCGAUGAAAAACUGAAACAUAAAAAAAUUCAAGAAAAAUCCACUUUAAAAAACCAAAAACACGUGUGAAAAAUUAAAAAACAAAAUAUAAAAGGAAAGUUCAGAGAGCACGACGUGUGACGACAGCUGAGAAUGCGCCAAAUGACGACACGUGAGAGUGAUCGCUGGAUACUUGCGAAGAAGUGUCGCUAACUAGUUGCUCUCAGCUCAGGGAGGGGCCUUACCCGAGCGACGACCAGGCUGAAAUGCCAACUUUGUCACUCGCCACCGGCCCACAUCCAUGCCUACUGGGCUGCCAGCAGCCAACUGUCUUCUGCCUUCGCGAACAGGCCGUGACCAGCUUUCUUGCGCGCCCCGUUUCCUCCUCCUUUCUCCCCCUUCCUCCACCCACCCCACCCCACACCCUCGCCGCCUCCAUCUUCUUCUUCCAAUCCCCCCCUUUCCGUCUAGGGUUUUGCUUCCUCCCUGACAAAAAUCGAGGCCUCAACCCCCCCGAGCGCGCCCCGCCUCGCCAUCGCCUCGCCGACCGGUCGCCGGAGAUGUCCCGCACGCUGGUGCAGCCGGUGGGGCAGAAGCGGCUGACCAACGUGGCCGUGGUGCGGCUGCGCAAGGGCGGCCAGCGGUUCGAGAUCGCCUGCUUCCCCAACAAGGUCAUCUCCUGGCGCGAGCGCGUCGAGAAGGACCUCGACGAGGUGCUCCAGUCCCACACCGUCUACUCCAACGUCUCCAAGGGCGUCCUCGCCAAGUCCAAGGACCUCAUCAGGACCUUCGGCACCGACGACCUCACCGAAAUCUGCCUCGAGGUACGCGCCACGACCGCACGCCCCCUCCUCCCCUGACCCUUGCAGUGGAUUGGAUUGGAUGGGCUGCUGAUUUCCGGCUCGAUUGCUUGUUUUUGCUGCUGCUGUUGUCAGAUUUUGGAGAAAGGGGAGCUCCAGGUUUCUGGCAAGGAGAGGGAGGCGCAGCUGUCCUCCCAGUUCCGGGACAUCGCCACCAUCGUGAUGGAGAAGACUAUCAGUACCGAGACCCGGCACCCCUUCACCAUGAAAAUGAUCGAGAGCAUCAUGCACGAGAUACACUUUGCCGUCGAUCCAAACCUUACCUCCAAGGAACAGGUAGCUGCCUGCCCUCUGCUCUGGAUAUAAUGCCCUUAGUGUAUAUUUUCUUCUUCUUUUAAUCCAAUGGAGGAUCACGAUUUGUUUAGCAUCCGUCAUUUGCAUUCAUCACCUGCAGUGCAUUUCCUUUAAAGAAAUGUUGCUUUAGGCCAAAUUAUUGUACACGUUACAAAUAGCGGACCUUCUGAUUCAUGUAUUACAGGAGUAUUGCCAAAUUGCCAUGCUAGCUUAGAAUAGUUUCCCUGAAGUGAUGAUAUCUUACUGUAAGCAAUCUAAUUAUCUGCAUUGGUCCCAAUUGGAAGAAAUUCAGUAUUGAUGUCAUGUACAAGUCCUUGCCGGGACAGCAACUUCAGUUGCAAGUACGUGCAUAUGAAUAAUCUUUCUGGAGAUAUUCACUCAUAUUCCAUACUAUAGAGGCUAUUCUGUUUGUUAUGCACCUGGCAUUGUGUAUCAGUUUUGUUGAAUCUCUCUUUCUUUUUCUUUUCAAUCGAUGGUCAUUGUUUGGGCUACCCUAGUUAACCUAUUUUUUGGUAGAGUCACUCAAUGCCUAUACCUUGCACUGACACAAUGUGAUAUAUAAAUAAAAAUACAGAAGGAAUUAGGAAUUCUUUGUGACAGUACCGAUGGUUCCUGUGUUUAUACUUUUACCUUGGUUAUUAUUACCUGCACUUUGGACAAUGUGCCAGAGGUUGUAAUAUACUAAUAUUGUUAUAGCUACAUCUGUGUAGACUUGUUAUCCACUUGUCUACUCCCGUUUCCUCUUUUCAUUCGUAUUUUCAUCGAUAUUUCAGGCACUGAGAGUUAUUAAGAAACUAAUUGAGAACCCUAAGUACAAGAUAAAGCGUGCACCAUUGACAGUGCGGUUCAUUGCACCUAAGUCCAAUCUUGCUGGCCUUAUGGAGAAGCUUGAUGGGUGGAAUGCAAUUGUUCUUUCAAAGGAUGAAUCUGCUGAUCAGUCUUCCGUUGUAAGUCUUUUGGAUUAAUUUUUCCAAGCCAUUAAUGUGUUGCCUGAUUAUGAUUUUUCUAUCAUGUGAGUUCCCCAUUGAACUUGUGUUUCCUAAGUUAUUAUAGGAUGCUGUACUCAGUCUGGUCCUCCCAAAAAUGCUAUACAGCUGGUGAAUGGUUUAUGCUAUCAUUUAGUGAGAGUUCUAUUACUGAGAAGCUUGCCCGUUGCCUCCUUUUGUACCAUUCAGUCACAAUUGUCUCAACAUUCAAGCCUACGUAGACUGCUUUGUGUCUCUCUCCUUUGUGACACUGAUGCAAUUAUUCUCCAAAAUCACGAUAUCUUCAUGUCAUGUUUCACCCUAUUAGUCAGUGUAUUAUACUUGACUCUGAAUAACAUAUUGCAGGUAUGUGAGAUUGAACCAUCUAUUCUGCACUCUUGUGAAGAGAAACUGAAGGAUGUGCAAGGGAGGGUGGAAGUACUCUCGGUGUCGGCACGCGCAGAAGGUGGCUCUUCUACAGACCAAUAUGACAAUGUGGAGGACAAUGUGGAGAAGGCACAGGCCGUUCCUGCGAAGGAGUCUGGUACUGUCACUCAGCUAAGUGAGACCAUGCAGAAACAGAGCCUUUCAAGUGAAGUGGAAAGCCAGGGUCAGGCACCAGGCAAGCCGCAGAAAAGAUGCAAAGAGUGCAGCAUAUUCAUGGAGGACAAGCUGUACAGAGACCACUGCAAAUCGGGGUGGCACAAGCACAACUACACACGCCACAAGAAUGGGCUUCCUCCGCUCAGCCAAGAGGAGUGCUUGAUGGAAAUGGAGAUGGCAGAGUCCCAGAGGGGUCUGAAGGACUAUGAUUUCUGAGGUGAGUCCUGUUUUGUCUGACACCUCCUCUCACCACGCCUCCGAGGCCGAUGAACGGCAUGUGCAAGACAUGAAGUUUGCAGUCUUGUUUCCGAGGACAUGGUCAUCAUUGGGUAAAUGCUGGUAUGAAGUGGGGAACGAGUUUUGCGAUACGCUAUGGAGUUUAUAAAAUGUAAUGGGGUUGCUGAAUGUGAACUGUGAAGGUAGUAGAACCUGGGUCAUGUGUAGUUGGCUGUGUACACUUUUGGCAGUUAUGCGGCAUGUGCUGUAACGGGAUGCUAUAUGAUGCGCCAUUGGGUAUGCGCCUGCUAUGGAUGUGAACCAACUUAACGCAACAUAUGUGUAUCGUUUCUGCAACUCGAUGUUGCUUUGACCCUGAUAUAUAAAUUCUGUGGUUGUUGUGCAUUGGCUGUUGGCCUGAUGUUGUUGAAAACAACAAGGCAGAUAUGGCUGGUAUGAGUCAGUUGGUUCUGUGCGUUGGUAAGGCAUGUAAAAGCGUGCAAGAUGAUGACAUAUCUCACUAGGUAGGAAAGAGGAUCACAUGCACUAAUCAGAAGCAAAGUAGAGAGGACGUGAAAGAGAGCAGCGAUGUAAUGUCGAACACUGAAGUCAUGUAGAAACCUCAGUCUGCCGGAUUCCCGAGCAUUGCCUUCCAGCGCUCCCCUGCGUGGCCGCGUCGUCUCCCCGAGCGAGGCGGCCGGGGGCUCCUCCCCCUGCCGCCGUCAGCGCGCUGCCGGGCCCNNNNNNNNNNNNNNNNNNNNNNNNNNNNNNNNNNNNNNNNNNNNNNNNNNNNNNNNNNNNNNNNNNNNNNNNNNNNNNNNNNNNNNNNNNNNNNUGCCCGUGUGGUGCAGGCGGCGGCGGGUCUGUCCUUCCUCCCGCGCGCGGUUCCCCUGGUCGGGCGGUGCGCUUUGGCCGGCGGCGGUGUGGCCUGUUGGAGGCAGUGCCACGGUGGCUCUCGACGCGGCGGCACGACCGUUGGUCGUGGGGUGGCACGAUGGCGCUGGCGGCCAGUGACGCCCGCCAGACCUAGAUUUGGGCCCGUUUGGGCCCCAUCUAGGUUUAGGCAGGCGGUAGCUCGGCGCUCGGUGGUUCCGCUCCAUGGUGGUGGGACGAGGCUGCGGCGGUGUUUACCUCGUCGGUCGGCGAGCUGCAGCGCGGGAUAAGGACUGUCCGGGCCUAAGUGUGGCCGACCGGGCCGUAGGGCCUGGCAAGUCCUCGUCGUCGCGUCCGGUCGGCUCCGCGUUGGUGGUGGAGGUUGUCCCCUCCCUCCGAUCGAGUUGUGGCUGCAUUUGUGGCCAUUGCAUCCUUUUCUCCUCCAGGCCUCGUGUUGGGAGCUCUAGUGAGACGACGAGGGUGGUCCGGUAAUCGUGGUGGCACAAACUGGUGGGCGGUUUAGUGGGUGGUGCGCGACAAAGUGUCUGGGAUGGUGGUGGUGGUGGUUGCGGAUCGGGAGAAAUCCCUGGCGGGUUGCCCGACAUCGACGCGGUGACGCCUGCGGGCGUCGCCGACCUUCCUGAAGGGCGUCGGGGAUACCCCUCCUCCACUACCCUUUGCGUACCGGGGGAAAUCCUAGGACUUGUUCAGGCAACAGCGGCGGCAUCGUCUCAUUCUUUCUUGGAGGUGUUGUUUAGUGCGCGACCCUUCGGACUGCUGGGACAUGGUGGUACUUCUUCGGCGGGUGCAACAUUUGUCGAUCUUCUUCUCCUUGUCAAUCUGCCGAUGUCGGCAUUUGCUUUCCUUUUCUUUCUUUUAUUUUUUAUUUGUGGCUUUUUUGUGCUGUGGCUCCAGCGAGAUGGAUAUAUCAGUUGUUUGCUUUGUAAUACGAAGCGGGAAAACCCUUUUCUCCAUGUAGAAACCUCAGUCCAUGGUCGCUGACGAUGAGAAACAGGGCGUGCUUUCCGUUCCCGGAGCAAGUGAAGAAAGGGCAGACAUCCAUCCUUGAGUUGGCUUGGUGGUUUGUGUUUGCCCCGGUGGCAAGCUAAGCACAGAUACCAAAACUAAGCGGCGAGAAAGGCAGGAGAGCAUCAGUUGCAGCGCACACUUGUCAGUAGGAUGCAAGUGGCCGGGACGUUUCCUCCCGAAAGCAAAAAGAGUUGGCUCAACAGCAGGCAGGAUCAUCGUCUCCACGCCACUACACCUCACUACAUCCACAUCUACAUACAUGGAUCAUCGAUCUGUCCUUUUUCCUCUUUCUGCCGCCGGCUUUUCCACUGCUUUCUUUCUUUCCCGUCGAUGGCCGCUCCUCCGAUCCACGCUUCCUCUUCUUCUUCUUCAGUGGCCACUGGCCUCAGCUCAGCUGCAAUAUAACAAGCGCCUCCUCCUCCUCCAGUGGCGCAGUACUGCACUAGUUAGUGGCUACCAGCGUCAGUCCGAGACUCCGAGUGUCCGACUGUCAGUGGAGUAGAGGGCAGAGGAAGCAACCGGACCGUGGAGAUCAUGGCGCGCAACUGCAGAAUCAGCGGCUUGCCGCCGCCGUCGCUGCUCUUCUUCCUGCUCCUCACGCUCUGCACCACCACGCACUGUGGUAAGCUUACUAUAACGGCAGUCAUUUAAAAAAAUAAUACGUUUUCGUUUCUUCUGCUCUGCGGUUUGAGUGGAGUGGAGUGAAAACAGUGUCGAAUCUCAGUGACCCCAGCUCUGUCCGUUAACCUGCAUUGUGCUAACUAACUCGAGCCCUCCGUGUUGGUGGAGCAGAGGCGAGAGCUCUGAGGCAGAGCAAGAAGAACGCCCUGAUGAACGUGCUCUUCAAGCUCAACUUCGCCAGGGCGGUGGAGCCGACGCAGGCGCAACCGCCCCCUCCCUCGUCGCUCGACGCCAGCGCUGGCAGCGACGCCGCGAGCGCGAGCCUCGCCGCCGUCGAAGCCCCGUUCUGCGUCAACCCUCCCGACGCUCCCCCGUCGUCGUCGUCGUCUUCCACGCCCCCCUUCACCUCCACGGCGCCGUCCUCAACCACGCCUUCCGUCCCGGACCAGCUGCCGCCGAUCACGCCCGUCCCGCCGUCAUUCGAGCCCAGCCCGCCGGCCGGCGGCGGNNNNNNNNNNNNNNNNNNNNNNNNNNNNNNNNNNNNNNNNNNNNNNNNNNNNNNNNNNNNNNNNNNNNNNNNNNNNNNNNNNNNNNNNNNNNNNNNNNNNNNNNNNNNNNNNNNNNNNNNNNCAGUCCGGGUCUGGGCACACCGGCGUCCACGCCCACGCCGAUCAACCCGCCGCAGUUCGCCCCGAGCCCGCCUGGAACUGCACCGCCCAGCCCGAUCGUCGUCGUGCCGAGCCCGCCUGACGAAUUCGGCCCAGGCUCGGGCGGCAGCGGAGGAGGAGGUGGGCAAGGAGGAGGCCUAGGAGGAGGACAAGGAGGAGGAGGAGGAAGUGGUGGUGGUGGUGGAGGAGGAGGUGGUGGUGGAGGAGAAGGAGGAGGUGGCGGAGGGGGAGGAGGAGGAGGCGGGUUCAUGCCGCCGAUCAUCUACCCGCCGCCGCUGGCCCCUCCAAUGGCGCCGGGAGCCGGGCAGGCGCUGUGGUGCGUGGCGAAGCCGACGGUGCCGGACCCGAUCCUCCAGGAGGCCAUGGACUACGCGUGCGGCUCGGGCGCCGAGUGCCGGUCCAUCCAGCCGUCCGGCGCCUGCUCCCAGCCGGACACGGUGCUCGCCCACGCCUCCUACGCCUUCAACAGCUACUGGCAGAUGACCAGGGCCACCGGCGGCACCUGCGACUUCGGCGGCACGGCCACCAUCGUCACCAGCGACCCAAGUAAGAUCUGCGUGCCAAUGCAAUACACAUGAACCAUCAUCCAUCCAUGCAUGCAUCCUCAAUUGUUCCUCAUGAUCGAUCUUGAUUUCUUACCAUGGGUUUCUAUCCGUCACGAUCUCUGCAGGCUACGACAGUUGCGCGUUCAACCUUGUAUGAGGGAUACGUACGCAUCGGCGAGCCAAAUUUCAGCUAUCAUGCAUGAGGAGCAUCUUUUCUUGGGGUCAUAUUCACGUUCCAUUUUUAUCGAGGCCACACAGCACCGCAGGUUUAGUAGGUAGCUGAGAUUAGUGUGAUUUUGAUCAUGGCAAGACUGAUACCGUGUAAAGGCGAUUCCUUGACAUGUGCAUUAUGCUAGCUUCUUGGGCAGCAGGAAGAUGCUUGAUCGUGCCCCUCUUGCAGUCUUAUAACUUUAAACCUUCUUGACCAAAUUAGUUUAAGCCAACCGCAUAUGCCUAACUUGGUGUUCACGCUAGCUAGCCCCAAGUAGUGCUAGAAAGUCGGAUUCUGUCUGCGCACAAGCUCGACGGCUCGUUCAUCAGCUCUUAAGAGGAGAUCGAACUGAGCAUAUGCAGAUGAAAAACAUGUGUGCAUCUUGUGAUGCAGAGGCCAGAGUGCUAUCCUUCUUGGAAAAAAAGAUAAAAAUAUGUGUGAAGGUUAGAAAGGGUGCAAAUACAAGAUCACGGUAAAACGGCUCCGUAAUCACAGGACAAAAUGCAGGAAGUCCAUAUGGGAGCACUGAUAAUAAAAUACAAAGAGCUAACGACUUUCAAAGAUGCAGCAGAGCCUGUCAACUGUUAGUAACUGAUAACAGAACAGGCAAGACCCGUAUAAACAGGCCUGUUCUGUUAUCAGUUGACAGGCCUGCCAUCUUCUAUAGAACAUGCGACCAGCACAAAUUUGCAUCAAGGGAGAAAGUGCGCCAACAAGUAGCAAUAUAUGCCGGGAGACUUGCAUAAGGUUUACACAGGAAACACCACAGAACACACACCAAGCUUCACAUCAACGCCAUACAAAAUCAAAUAUAGUACUCCCUCCGUCCUAAAUUACUUGUCUUAGAAUCCAAGACCGAGUAAUUUGGGACGGAUAUUGUAUUUGAUACACUUUGAUACAUGUUUUUUCUUUCAAGAGAGCAUCUCCUGAUUGGUUGAUCCAUCAGAACACGGCAAAAAAAUACACGAGACCCUUAUUUUUCUGAUUGCACGGGCACAGAUGGACUGCUGGUCUGGAGUUUUAGCGGCUCGUAGAUAACUGCAUUAACUGCGCUCACCAUUUCGUUUGGCGAGGUAAACCCAUCGGUCUGGGAGUAGAACAAGUGAACUAUCUUGCACAUCUUCCAGAACAGCUCCUUGCAAGGCCUAGGAACAACCGUGUUCUCCCUAAGAACCAGCUUCAGCAAGCCUUUUCUACAUGAGGCUAUGGCCUUCCAUAUCGUCUCUUUAGCCGUUUCAACGGACAUAGAACCACCACUGUGGAGAACAAGUAGUGAGAUAUAAUCCAGGUUCCCCUCCCUGCUCUCCCUCUGUAACAAAUAGAUCAAAAGAUUGUCAGAGUAACCAAAUUACAGGUUCCAGGUCUAAACUGGAGUACAUGACAACACUGAUGAGUAAUUACUAAUUCUCUUUAUUAUUAGUAUAAAACAACAGGAUACACUACUACUAAAUGAAUUCUAGCUUCUAAGAGAAGACAUCAGUGCGUCUUCUACCGUCGUUUGGAACUCCUAAAAAUGCCAUACAAGCAUUUAGAUGUGUGCUUUACAAGAACAAAUUCUUGACAAGAUCAUGAAUGACUGCAAAUCUUGAUGUUUCUUAGAACUUGCAGUCCUCGGUGAUUACUAUAGUGUCUCAAUCUCACAAGAUAUUUCUUUACAGUUUGUUCGGGUAACCAUGUUUAUAUUUAUAUUAAGGUGAAAGGAAUUUGCCUCUUGUGUUUAAAAUAACAUAUGUUUAUGCAGCUAUACUAAAUAUAGAAUACAUAUGGGAAUGUGACGUGCGUAGAUAUGAAGUUGAGCAUAAAAGUAACCCAAAUACCUCAAGACCUCGGAUAUCGUUGAGGAGACGACCAAUAGUGCUCGUCAGCCUAAAUAACUCGUUGUAUUCUUGAUCGUUGACAACACAUCGCGAGAGCUUUGGCCCAACAAAGUACAACGACGUGAGCACAACGGGCCCCAGUGUGAAAGAAACAAUUGCAUUUGACAUGUAUUGCUCAACUGUUGGCACAUGUUUUCUCAUCCGCCAUUCUGCCUCAGACAUCAUAGACCUCAACAGCUGUAGCCACUGCAGAUGGACUCAACAUAUCAAUGCUGAACUUUUUUUCGAGAAACAGGCAAACACAAUGGAAACUCACUAAUUCUAUCAGGUGCUUUCGAACAUCACGGUUUUGUAUUGCAGAAGCUACUGCUCCAAGCUGGUUGACUGUAGUAUAGAUAGCAGAAAACAAUAUCUUCACUUGCUCAGAGUAGAACUCAUCUUUGGAGUGCUCAUCCCACCUGACACAAGCAUUAGCAAAUCAGGGAUCAUGACUUGUUAGCAAUGCGCGAGACACCAACUACUUACAAAAUGAAGGACCGAGGGGGUUACUUCUCAACUAAUGUUAUGAGGUUUUCAUGUUCUUCUUUUGAUCCUCCAACAUCGAAGAAAUCAUCAACAACAGUGGUGAGCACACCAUUUUUGGCCCACGACAUGCGAGCAUCAGACAGUUCAGGAGGAAAUAUGGUAGCAGCAGCAGCAAGAUAACAAUAUGUCAGCUUCUGUCGUGCAAACUGUAACUGGUCCAGCCGGUUUCCUUUCGCCCAACUGUUGCCACAAUUAUUUUUAAAAUAUCUAAGAAAGAAAGUUAAUAAGGCCAGAGAGCAUAAAUGUUACAUUACCUUUCAAGAUGCAGGAGUUCAUCCUGGUAAAUAGAUUGAGAAAAAUUGAAAUCUUCAACAGCCAAAGCCAGGAAAUCUUGGUUGACAUGACAUGGCCUGAUUCACCAAAAUGUCUAGAAUUGGUGUCUAACAUCCUUAUUUAUAUGAUUUUACACACUAUUCUUUUCGAGAAAUGAGAAUCUUACAGAUGUUCUGUUUUUAGCAUCUGAGAACCACAAACAUCAAAGUGUUCAAUGUUCCUCUUGUGGCCUAUACGUUCCAUUGUGGCAUAAAAGGGAAAGUUAAGAGCAUACUCAACCUGAAAUUACAAAAAACAUAGAAACAGUAAACACCCAAUAAAAGCUAGAAUUAGUCCACUUUCUGAUAUUUAAAUUUCAUGCAAGGACCUCUUCAAAGAUUGGUGUUGUUUGCACCUGAUCGGAGAACAACUUUUCUGUCAAUAACUUUCCUGACCAGUAGCCUAUGUUAUCUAGGAUAAAUUCGUUUUCUGAUACACUGACUUUCGAGGCUUUGUACAAUUCCAAUAUAGAUUUUGUAUCAUUUAAAUAUCCGUGAAGUGAAUGAUGGAAAGUGGAUUCAUCAAUAUGAUACAGAUCAUCUGCAUUAUAUUGAAAUUAGCGAGUUAAAUUAACAAAUACACAAAAAACAGAAAGAUAACAUUUGUAUGGUUGGAAAUUCACACCCAAAGGAAGUACCCGAGGAAACAUCAUAUCCAUUCAUUCGCAAAAGACGGAAGGCCAUUGCGCAUGCUGCUACAUCUAGCAUGAUUUCCUCAUCUCUCUGUAACCAGAAACUGCAAAAUGGAUAGAAUGAAGUUUACAAGAUACGAAAGAUAGCAAAAUGGAUAGAAUGAAGUUUACAAGAUACGAAAUAUAAAUAUUAGAACUUUAUUCACAACCAUUACCUGUAUGCCAUGUCCAGGAUGCUCUUUAUCUCACUAGAAAAAUGAUGAGAUAUCCCGAUGUUUUCAAGAGAAUCUACCAAUGAAAGCUGAGAAUAUAUGUUUGUUGGAUAAACUGUUGGCACUGCAAAUGUCUAAAAAUCAUUAGUUAUUUAGCCACAGUCCAAGACCUUACAAAUUCCUGACAAAGAAAGGUAGCUGGACCCACCUGAAUUGCCAAAUUUACUGACAAGCAAAUUAAGGUACUGAAGGGCUUUAUCAUCAAAAUUGUGGAUAAGUGCAGCAGCAGUUGUGGAAGGAGAGUUGAACAACGACCCAUUCUUCCUCUGGAACUUCAUAACUUGGUUCCAGUCCAGCAGGUUUCCUAGCCCUUCAGCAGCAUAAGCCAUAUAUGCUUUUCUCCCAUCAGAUUUAUCCCCAACAAGUCUGAAUCAAGUCCAUAUGUAUAAGAUAUGGAUUUUUUAAAUAAUAAUCACAGGUAAUACAUGUCACACUCACAUUCUGGUUGCCAAUUUCAUUAAGGAAAAUACAAAUGUGAAUGACAUGUGGCCCUUUUCCCCUUGAAAUCAUGGUUCUUAGAAAAUCAUUAAAAAUAUAACUUCGUACUGAAAAAUGUUCAGCCAGUCUAAAAACCCUUUUGAGGCUUUCAGAAUCAGCUAUCCCUGAAGUGUAAACAUGAUCAGAAAGGAAAUACAACACAAUUUUCAUGCCAGAACUGUCAUAGACGAACCUUUUGAGUUCCACCUCCCGGAGGUGAAGAAUCCUAUCAAGAUCAUUUUGUCCAACCGGAAAUUCCAAACCCAUCUCAGUCCCAAGGCUAAACAUACCCGAAAAUGUGAUAUUAAAGCCUAUAGGAGCAGCAAUCUGCUCAUUCGUAACAAUGGAGAAAUUUCUUCCGAUAAAACGUAGUCCUGUCAGUACCAUUUUCAUCACAUCAAGGUCACAUUGAUUUGGUAAAACAUGAAAAUACAACAGUCAAACAACAUUAAAUGGUAGGUAAAUUCAUCUUUGUUUCAUACCUCUCCUGAUAUGCUCCCUCCCAACAUUCCACCUCUUAAGUGCCAGCACACAAGCCAAUGUGGACGAGUGGACAUCCUUGUUGACGGAGGAGUCCAUUUGGACGAGACCCCAAGAUCCAUUGCUCUGCUGGUUUUGUAGUAUCCACUCAACACACUGUGGGAAGCAUGGAACUCGAGGAGAGCUCGGCAAGGGCACCAUAGCCACCCACGCGGUGUCGUAGGAAGAUGGCAACAACUCAGGUUCCAGGAGCUGCUUCCUUAUUCUAGCCUUCCGUUCCUGAUUUUGAUGAGACAGGAGUCAUGUGACAAGACCCUCAAGCAUCUAUCUGAAACAAGGAUCGGUAGUGAUGGACAUACUACAUUACAUACCAUGUUUUGCAGGCUUGUAUUUUCUCCGGCAGAUCCCCUCUCUGCAUAUUCUGUUUCUGCAUAGGAGAUGUGUACUUCACAUAUCAUUGGCACAUCUCAAAAUUCAUCUUUUUUAUAAAAAAGAAGGCUUGAGGAAAUUGGGACAUCACUAGUGUUAUUUAUUUUUUUCUGACCAGGGACAUUACCUGUGUAAAUACCAUAGACGGUACUACUCUCACUCUCAGACAUACAAAUAUGGCGUUAAACCAGCGCUAAUUUUUUUAAGUGUAUUUUCAUACAUGUGCAGCUAACUGAGGUUAAUUAGUUGGAUGCUAAGUUGUAUAAUUAGACUUGCCUCUCUCUUCAUGGAGAACGGGAUGAAGGAAAGCUCGAGCUAUUCUUCCCCUAAAAAAUGCUCAAGCAAUCCUAGUGCCGCCACCGCUGCUGCUUCCGUGAAGCAUGCGCUUCCGGCCGCGGGUCUGAACCCAUGGUGCCGCGCUGCCGCCUCCGGACCACCGGCCGCGCGCCGCCACAAGGGCUAACCAUGGUCGUCAAUUUGAGAGGGGAGGGCGAGGGAUUGGUACCAAUUGUUGCGGGGGGAGUGGACGUCGAGGACAUUUUGACGGCGGCGGCUGCGACGAGGGUUUCGGAGGCGACGACGACGCUACCGAGGUCUACGGAGGAUAGAGUGAACCAAGAGCACCUACCCGCAACUAGCAAAUUCGGCCUCUCAAAUACUCGUAAACGCUUUCAUCGACGGAUAUUGAUAGAUCACGUUUUAAAUAAUGCAUUCUAUAGCCGGAUAUCUUAAAUUUUAUAUCUUAAAUUCAUACAGAUCAUCAUGCAACUAAUAAUACAUCAAUGCAUUAUACACAUCGUUUGGGCUCCUCCAUCACUAUUAAUAUACCAUUGGACUAUCAAAAUUUGAUAUGUUUGGCUAUGAUGGAUGUCAGUGCCCUUGCCUUUCCGAGCCUUGUUGCCCUUCUCACCGAAGUACCGAUCGAAGAUGCAGUACGGAUCGAACCGGAUCUACUCAUCAUCGGAGUUGUCCUCGCCGUCACUCACUUUCUCCUCCUCCUCCUCCUCCUCCUUCGAUGGUAGUAUGGCCAUUUCACGGACCGCCCGAUUCUGCUCGCGGGCGAGGGCACACGUGUUCCUCCGCUACCGUUUCUUCAAAAUGCGCGCGUAGAUGCGUCUUCCACAUGGGCGCGGGCUGGUCGGAGUCGGAUCCGCUGCCCUCCAUGCCGGAUAAGGCCGAAGAUCGCCGAAGGUGAGAUAGGGUGGCGGAUGGGAGUGCAGUGAAAUGGCUAGGGUUUGGUCCGGUGAACGAAUGAUGACGAAUAUAUAUGGGUCAAUGCGGGUCAGUACAGGCCAGGAGGAUAUGCCCGGGCUCUCUCAUAUCCGUCCUAUUUGGGAUGGAUAUGAGGGGUGUCGGCCAGCCCGAGCGUUUGAGGCCGGUUUGAGAGGCCCGACAUCAUGAUCUUCCAGUGAUUGGGCGGCCUGUCCGGGCAUUUGAGGAGGAUAUGAGGGGUCCGGCUGUUUGGUUCCGAGAUGCCAUAAGGGCGCAUUUGGUUGCUACCAUUUGACCCAAUUAGACCCACGCGAGACGAAAAUAAGAUGUUUUGUUGUCUGCAUCAGUCCCGCGAGCUAUUGCAUAAUCGACAAUUUCUUUGCGGCCAGGCUCAACGCGGAUACGCGUGUCACAACUCGGAGAGCGCGGGAAUGAGAUGUCUCAUAACACCCCCCCCCAAUCUCUUGUGCCACCAUCCACUCUCCUUUCACACCAUGCUUCCUCACUUUCCUUAUCGCCCGUUGCUCUCCUUUCCUCCGAUGUCUUGCCCGCCGUCCGCUCACCCCCAUCAGCGCCUACAGCAACCGCAUCCAAGAGCGAAAGGUUGUCGGCAUCACGAACUCCACGGUCGAUCUGAUGAGGGCCCUCCGCUCGUCGUCACCUUUCUGCUCCAGGACCACUUGUCCGGCCAAUGCGGGUGCCGACUACUCUAGUUUCGUGCCGUAUUCGAACCUCUUGGUCCUGGGUUUGGUUGCGUCGCCGAAGGGGGCGGAACCCGUCUGGCCGUAUUUUAACCCCCAUUUGAGGGGUUUCUCCUAGCAGCGCGACAGUCCCAUGAACGACGGCUCGCUCCUCCUCGACCGUGCCCGUGGCCACGAACACACGGGCAAUGUCGUCGGUCGUUGGCAUUGCCGACUCCUCCUCCUUCGCCCGCCAUCCUUCCCGCUGGGGUUUUCUCCCCUACCGGCGUAUGCCCCAACUCCACCCACCCCGGUAAAUUACAAAUCUCUCAUCUCCUCGUAGAUGUAGAUUAGGGUUUUCAUCAUUAGGCAUGACAAGGAAUCGAUUGGAUUUGAUUUGAUUUGUUUCCAAUCUAAUCGAUUCGAACCCAAUCGAUUCCUUCUUGUGUGUUACUAUUGUUGUUCAUAGGCAGGAUAGUACUCAUGCUUCGAUUCGAUCAGUGCGUGUUCUAGCUUAGUGUUCAUCCUUUUCAUAGGCAGGAUAUAUUGGUUCUUGCAUGAUAUGUAGGUACAAUGCGUUCAUGCUUAGUGUACAUGCUAUUCGUAGGUAGGGUUUGUGUUUGAUGUUGUCCUUGAAGGUGGAGUCUUUAGAUGCCGACGCAAGAAUGAUCGUGCAUGUUGUUCGGGACAAGAUGUUAUAGCGGCAACAUGAGGAGCUGGAGGCGGCAGAUAAGGAGGAGGAGAAGGCGGCGGAGAUAGAGGCUGCAUACACGGCGGCGAUGACACCUUGAGCGUGGAAGAGGAUCGGAUUGUCGGUCAGAUAGGAAAAAAACUCAAUUUUUUUGCAUGGACAACCGGACGGAUAUUCUUUUCUCAUCGGGCAUGUAAAAACUUAAGCAUUCUGACCUUUUUUUACAUGUGAUUGGGCAUGUGAUCUCGCACUUAGUACACCACGCUACUGCGAAGUGGUCCCUCACCGUGUCUCCCGAGCAGGCCAUAGUAGCAGCCGUGGGUGUAAAACAAGUGCUACAACUAACUUUUUAGUAGUAGUGUUGGCUAGCUACCAAGCGCUGCUACUGUAUAUACACGGGCGAGCAGGUGGACAUCUCUUAGCGGCAGCGCUGGCCCUCUGAUCCGUGGUACAACUAUGAGCUUAACAAUAGCGAUGGACCAGUUCCCGCCGCUUAGCAUCCUUAUCCUUUAUGUGGGCCGUCUGUUAUUCAUUCCCUCUUCUCACACUCUCUCACUCUCUAUUCGUCGCUUUGGCUCCUCCUCCCAUCGUCGCCGCCGUCUCCGCCUCCUCCUCCCGUCUCCGUCGUCCUCAUCUCCUCCCGUCGUCAUCGUCCUCCCCGGUCGCCUCGUCCUGCCAUCUCUGCGGUCCUCGUCAGCUCUUGUUGUCGCCAUCAUCCCCUCCUUCCUUCCACCGUUGCCGCUAUCACAUGGACUAGCCUCGCCUCGUCCGCUGUCUCGUGGCUCGUCGCAGCACACACCAUGAGCUCCUCUACCUCUCACCUCAUUAUUCUGUUCAUUAGUAUUUAUACUACAAAUUGAAUGGAUCCAAGUGGUUGUGAAAGAAAAAAAGAUUAGAUUAAAAUGGAUGGAUCCCCAAAUGACCAAGUUAAAUUAGUAGGAAAAUAUGAUGUUGGAACGACACGCAAGUGCCAAAUGAAGACAAUGCCUAUCAAGUCCAAUUUACAUUGAUUGGCAUUGCCUUCAUUGACAAUUGUGUGUCAUCAUAUGACUUGAUCAUUUACAUCCAUCCACUUUAAUGAUGAAACUAUGCUUCGUCUUUAGGUGAAAUUUAGAGUUUAGCCUAAAUAAUAAAACCAUGCUUUGUCCUUAGAUGAAAUUUCUUCGUCUUUAAGCAAAACAUAGGCCACUCGGAGUUCCCUGAAAUAAAAAGAGACAAAUGUGUUCAUCUGUAGCACCACGUACACAGCAACAGAGACACGCACUUAGGCAUUUUUUUCAAAUAGCCAUAGCACAAAGUCCAUACACAAUUACACGAUUAGCGAUCCUACCCCAUGCAUUGCCACAUCACUGUCUCCAAUGCACAUAGGUGUUUUCUUAUUAUUUUCAUUUUGGCAAUAAAUAAAUUCUUUUUUGUGAUGAUAAAAUGUGAAUUCUUUGAAAAAAGUUGUAUCAUCACAUUUAUCACAAAAUUAUAUGUAAUCAACAUUUAGCACAAAAGUAAUCCAUCAAUCCGUUCAAUAUCCAUGAUCCAUCCAUCCAUCUAACCAACAUUCAAUCAUCCAUCUGGCAACUAAUGAACAGAAUAAUGAGGUGAGAGGUAGAGGAGCUCAUGGUGCGUGGUGUGGCGAGCCACGAGAUGGCGGAUGGCGGGGCGGACGAGGCGAGGCUAGUCAAUGUGAUAGUGGCGACGGUGGGAGGAAGGCGGGGAUGACGGCGAUAACAAGAGCAGACGAGGACUGCAGAGAUGGUAGGAGGAGGCAACACGGGAGGAGGACGACGACGGAAGAGAUGAGGACGAUGAAGACGACAGGAGGAGGCGAAGACGAUGGCGAUGAUGGGAGGAGGAGCCGAAGCAACAGAGAAAGAGUGAGAAGAGGGAAUGAAUAACGGGCGGCCCACAGAAAGGAUAAGGAUCGCUUAGCAGCAGCGCGGGUCACUGGUCCAUCGCUAUUGUUAAGCUCAUAGUUGUAGCAUGGAUCAAAGGGCCAUCACUGCUGCUAAGAGAUGUCCACCUGCUGGCCCGUGUAUAUACAGUAGCAACCCUGGGUAGCCAGCCAACACUGCUACUACAAAGUUAGUUGUAGCGCUUGUUUUACACCCACAAUUGCUACUAUGGCCUGCUCGGGAGACACGGCGAGGUACCACUUCGCAGUAGCGUGGUGUACUAAGCGCCGUGCUAUUGCUAAAACGUAGGUUCAGUGCGUGCCAUAGGACCUCGUACUGCUGAGUGACAGUUGCACCGGUUUCCUACCCUGCGCCAGUACUAGUGAUAUGCCUAUAGGGUUUUUUUAGUGGUGAUCGUGUCAGGAGGGUGCCAGGAGGAUGGACGCCUGCUUGCCAGCCAGCUCGUCCGACGUCUCUGAUGACAAGGACAACACCAAGAUGGAGAUGGGCUCCGACGACACCGCACCGGCUCCCGCGCCUCCUAUGCACCGCGGCUUCACCAUGGAGCAGGCACAGUCGCACUAGAACACCGCCAUGGCGGAGGGACAACCUAUGUCGGCGUUAGAGCGGGCGAUGGAGCAGCAUCGGCUCGCGUUGGGCCAGAUCGAUGACCAACGCAUGAGCGAGGAGGACCAGUUGCACGCGAUGCAAUCCACGCUCAAGUCACCGCUCACCAGGAAGCGGAAGUCGUGGAGGCGUAGUUGUAGGUGAUCGUGGAGGAGAACAAUGCCAGUUGCGCCUCCUAUGCGACGCCGACGAAGCAUGAGGCGGCCCGGUGGAACAACGACAGCGUCGGCGCCACCAUUUUCCUCGUGGACCUCAUGUCCACCGGCGACAGACAGGGCGCGGAUUCCUUCGAGGAUGAGUACGACACGGGAGGCGGCAGGGCCUUGUGUCCCAUGUGACCGGCCCGUCUCCCGUGUUCUCCUCUUCCUUACCAGAGACUACACCUUCACUUUAUGAGUCUUAUUACCGGUGUUCAUGGUGAAGGCGGAUGGAGGACGACAUGGGCUUGGACGCUGUAAAUCGUCGCCGUUGGAUAGGUUUAGGAUCAGAUCGUAUUUUUCUUUCUAAAUGUUCGAAAUGUAAUGAAAAUUCGUGGUGUUAGUAUGAAAUCCAUUGUAUUUAUAUGAAAUUCAAUUGUGUUUGCACGAAUUUCAUCUGAUUUAUUGAAAAAUAAUUUAAAACAUAUGCGGUUAUGAUUGGAUAUAUAGUGGCCUCCUAUAUUCAUGUUUGAGGACCGGUUCCCUGACGGAUGCGAGAAUUUUUUUAGGGAAUUUAAGGGUCACACUUACACAUAUCAGUCAUCACCAUAUGCAUCUAAUAAAAACAAUCAAGCAAGCAGCCAGGCUCAAUCCUUACCGAAACAGGAAGAAGCUGCCCGAGUCCGGGGAGGAGGACGAUGACCACCGGAGAAGAGUCGGAGGCGGCGCGCUUCGCUGGAGCUGGAAUCAUUAAUCCCGGGGACGUGCUCGGCGGCGCGCGCGAGGCCGCGGCGGCGAAGAGGGCUACGUUGGCCAUGGCUGUGCGAGCAAGAAGUCCUUGACACGAAGGCAGAAGCGGCAGGGAGGAAGAGAGCGUGACUCCCCGCCUUGAACCGGCCAUGCGCCGGGAGCACGGAAGAGGGCCUAGCUGCUUUCGUGUUCGACAUGGGAAGAAUAUCACCCGAACCAGCAUAGAUCUUUGUAUAUGUAUAUUGAUGCUUACUACUAUAGGCAGCACGAGAUCGCCGUACGCGCUUCAGCGUGCCAGAUUUAGAUAGACUGUAUGUAUGCAUGUAUAUUAUAGCAUCUACAACAGGGUAUAGCAAGUAUGACACUCUAAACGGCUGUGAACGUGUCCGGCCAGCGAUCAAACGUGUUCUUUAUUUGUUCUUAUGGAGACACAAUUUUCAUUUUCUUUUUCAUAUUUCCGGUUGUGAUUAACGGAGAGAAAAAGAAAGAAAUGAAUGAAUGAAUAAAAAAAGGAUGACCCGUGAUGGGUCGCGUUCUACGUGACGGACUGAUCGGACGUGCGUGAACGCGUCCGCGAGCGUUCAUAUCCCUCCUAUAUUUGUUCUUACUACGAGGGUUUUGGGACAAUCCGGACGUAUAUAAAUGACAUGGGAUUCAGUUGUAUCACUUUUUUCACUCUUUCUCUUGUUCGAUCACUGACCGGGUGUGUCCAUAAGUGUACGAGAGGUCGUUUGAGACUUUCGGUUGUAGAUGCUCUUUUUCGAUAGAGGGUGCUUUAUUAACUUAAGAUAUAGCAUCGAGCGGAUACAAAACAGAAAAAAACCCUCGAACUCUGCAUAGCUAAGAUGCACACAGUCAUCAAACAAACAGUCUCACAAAGAUUAUAAAACGACAAAGUGGCAACCGUAAAGUCAUAUGAGACCGAAACUAUGCCUAUGUCGACGGAGAAGGUUGUAGACUGUGGCAACCGUAAAGUCAUAUGAGACCGAAACUAUGCUUUUAGAGCAUCUACAGCCGGACCCCUCAAGCCCUCCUCAAACGCUCGGACAGGCCGCCCGAUCAUAAAAAAUCGACCCAGACGGGCCUCUCAAACUGGCCUCAAACGCUCGGGCUGACUCGCACCUCCAUUUUCAGUCAAAUAUGGGGUCGAUAUGGGGGAGCCCGGACACGCCCGCGUGGCCCGCAUCUACCCCAUAAAUAUCCGUCCCCAUCCGCUCGCCGGACCAAACCCUAGCUACUUCACUCCACUCCCCUCCACUCCCGUCCGCCACCCAAGCUCACAUCUGGCAUGGCUGGCAGCAGAUCGGAGUCCUUCACCUCCAGAUCCGUCGACCAUGAGCUCAUCCCACGCGACCCCGAGGAGGAGAUGGCCGUCUGGGUUGCGUUCCGCCGCUCCCGGGAAGCGUUGGCACGACGGCAACGCUCGGGCUCGCAACACCGGAAAUCCAUUGCGUCCGCCCAAUCGGUGGUUGGAUCCGGCGUUGCUGCCUCACCAAAGGCGGUGCGAUCCAUCUGGUGUCCGAACGCCGUAGCAGAAGCGCAAUCCCUCCGUUGGCGCGCCGAGCACGAAGCAUGGCCGACCUCGGACAAUGUAAUGGCGCGCCGUGCCCGCCGGGCGAGGCAGUGGGCACGGACGUGACGGAGUCUCUCGCGGCGGCAGAUGUUGGAGAGGCGGAGUCACACUCUCCAGCACCCCGUAGGGUGCAACACUGCGGUCGACGCAACCGCGUGGUGGUGGACGUCGGCUCCUUUCAGGAAGGAUCCGUUAUCGACCUCACGUCGACUGGCAUCGUCCGAGUUACGAGCUCCGACAAGGAAGAGUAGGGCAUGUGAGAUGACAGAAGCUCGACAUGGGAAGAGUAGGAACAUUUUUUGCUGCAUCGGAUAAAAAAUGUUGCAUGAAGAUUCAACGGUGCGGACGCGUGGGGUUGAUGGAUCGUGCGGCCUGCGUGUGACCGGUCUAAAAUUUCGGCCGGCGCAGAUCACUUCCCAGUAGGAAAGCAUGGCGUGUUGUGCUUUGGACUGCAUGCACGUCGCCAUGUGAGCGUUCUCCAGCAAAUUAGGUGACGUCGUCGAUAAUGCCAUGCAUAUCGACCUCGUGACAUUGUGACAAGCCGCAUCAAAGAAACAGGGCUGGUGCGUACGGCGUACCUCCGCCGUCCAUAUGGUACGACGCGCGGGCGUCUUCUCUUGGUUACACACGCGACCAUGACCGAAUCGAGCUUAGCUAGCGACGAUGAUGCUCGUACCGGGUCCAUGAAGCAAGUAGGAGUAUUAUGUUUGGGGGUGGAACGUACAUACUGGUAGUAUAUUCGAUGUCGCUACGGGGGAGAUCCUUGAAAGGUGGGAAUUUGUUUUGUCCCGGCCGGCUCCUGUGUGGCCGGCGAUACCAAGUAGUCCAUUCGUGUGCCACUCCAAUUCUCUACUCUGAUGUAUGAGACCUAUCAGUAAGUGAGAAAUUCGCAAGGGCGCGUGCGGGGUACGCGACCACGCAGCCCCGUAUAACUUCUGUGUGGUGAUGUAGAAAUGUGUUUCGGAGAAAAUUGCCUGAAAAAUAGAUGGAAGAUUUGGAAUCCUGUUUAUACCGCGCAAUUUUUUCAAGGGAUACGUCAAGAGUGAUGUAUCGAAAUCAUAGAAGGGAGUGCCAAGCCGGCAGCCAAUUUAGCGCCGGCUGUGUAAAAUCGGCCUAGUCGCCUCUUCAACUCCUCGUUCAGCAUCAGUUUAGAUCAAAAUAAUAGUCGGCGCUGAGCCAAACCCAGCCUCCCGGAGGGCGUCUCGGAGCGCCGGUCGAAGCGAAAAGCCAAGCGGGUCCGCUCUAUUGGCGGCAGCCGGGCCUAUUCCCGUCAUUUUCUCCCCCUUCCUCCUCCUUUUUCCUUCAUUUCUCCGCCUCCUUCCGUCAUUCUUCUCCCGCUCCCGCCAUCCGGCCGCCAUGCCCCCGAAGAAGAAGUACAUCUUCCCUCGCUCCGCCACCGCUGCCAAUUCCAGCCAACGAAGCAGAGGAAGCCGAGGAAGCCGAUGCCUAGGCCGGCGGGCAUUUCGGAGGCCGAGUGGAGGGCGGAUGUCCAAGGCCGAGAGGCGGUCACAACAGACCGACAGAGGAGGCUCGACGUCAAGAAGAUCAGGGACACGGUGGCGGUCGAUCAGGAAGAGGCGUCCCGCGCGGGGAUGAUGAAUCCGCUCGGCCGCAACCCUUAGGCCGCAUGGAGGGGUCAUCAGGGUGUUGCGUCGCCAGCCAACCUCUCGCCGUCGAUGCCGCCCUCGGGGUAUGUGCUCUCGCCUGGCUACUCCGAGGGUGACGCGCAUGGAUGCUUCAAUCCCAACACCACCUUUCCGCAUGGCGCGCCGCGGCGUUCCUCUCCCACCGGCUUCGGCCACAACCCGCGUUCAACACCGGCCUCAACACCUAGUACAGCUACUCGCCGUCGGCAUACUCGUCAGCGGCCUCGUCUGCGUCGUCUUUGCGCCGUGGUGUCCUUCCAUUCGCGCCCACUUCGUCGCUGCAGUUUAACUACGUUGAUGCCGACGUGGACGAGAUCAUCACGAGCGGCUCCGUCGCUGUCGCGUCGCAUUCGGAGUUCGGCGUGCAGGAUGAAACAAUGGACACCACCGACGACAUUGAUGACGAGCUCGAUGACGCCGAGGAGGAGGCGGUGGAGGUGGAACCGGAGCCAGUGCCGAAGAAGAAGGGAUCAAAGAGAAAGCGGGCGGUGCACGCCAAGCCAGCCGAGCCACACGUCAAGUGGAUGUCAAAGGAAGGCGAGUGCCUUGCCGAAGCAUGGAAGACCGUCAGUAUCGACCCAAUCACCGACGCGAAUCAGAACACCGACACAUACUCGAGGAGAAUCAAAACGGCGUUCGACGAACGCAAGCUGGUCGACCCCGACUUCGCCAACAUCCACAUGGAUCGCGGCGAGAAGGCCAUGUCGAACCGCUGGUUGAUGAUCCAGACGGCCUGCAACAAGUGACAUGGGAUCGUCGAGGAGGUCGCUGCUCGCCCAGAAAGCGACGUCAAUGUCGAGGGUCAGGUAUGGACAAAGUUUGCCGACCCUAGCUCACCGCGUCGCCAUGUACUUUGUCAACAUGUUUUGUCCGCGGUUGUGCAGAUGAUUUGGAUGUUUGCCAUGUAUCGCGCCAACAAUGAGCACCAAGAAUUCAGGUUCCAUCACGUUUUAUCCAGGAUCGAGUCGUGCAAGAAGUGAAGGGAAGUUCUGCUCGCUCUCGACAAGGCCAAGGAGACCUACAACCCGGACGCGCCUGCCCCGGCUGCGGCAGAAGGGCACCCAAAUGGCACCAAAAAAGCGAGGGCGGCGAGGGACGCGGCACCCGCUGCCGAACGGCUGCAAGCUUCGAUCAAGCAAUGCAUCGCCGACGUCAAGAGCAGCGUUGCUAGGAGAGAGAAGAAAUUCGACGCGUGUUGGUCGGCGUUGAUGAUCAAUGUCACUUCGAAGAAGAGGAACACCGACUUGGAGUUCUUGAUGGGGGCAGACACAUCGACGAUGGACGAGAAGUUGAAGGCGUGGUACAUAGUGCAGCGCGACCUCAUCUUAAGCCAGAUGCCCGCGCCGGCAGCGACCACAACGACGACCACGACGGGCAACGCCAACGAUGACUCCCAACCCGAGCGCAGAAACCACACCGACGAUAAGCCCCACUACGUCGCCGACGGACCCGGCUAGUCCCGCGGCAGAGGAGCCACACCACGUUGAGCUGGCCGUUUGAUCCGUUUCAUCCCUAUUUUAUCCCUUCCUUUUGAUCGCCGAACUAUUUGAUGUGUUUGACCGCCAAACUAUGGCAUGCUAUUCGUUGACUUGUGGCAUGAUGAUCGCCGAACUCGUGACGUCUUUUUGACAGCGAAAAAGAAUUUUUUUUUAAAAGUUGACGUCUGGGGACCGAAACCUAAGAGCGCAGCUAGAAACUCGUUCGCCCCAAAACGAAAAUAGCGUCGGCGCAGCGCCAAAAAAGCUUUCAUCGGGGUGCGCUAGGGCCAAACGGCUGAAGAUGCUGUGAGUUAGUCCAUUUGUGGUGGUUUGAAUCCUGUAGCCGUGGGUGUGUUAUACCAACAUGUUCAUUUCGUGUAUGUGCUCUCUAUACCUUUCCGUCCUUUUCAUUGCAUUCUUUAUUAUAAAAACCGGUUCUUCUUGUCAAUAGUGAUCCAUCUAAUGUACUGUUCAUCUUCUUCCUUGGUUUACUCGUUGCGCUCUUACCUUUCAUCACCCUUCCCUUCUGCGUCAUCUGCGUGUUAUUCCUUGCAAUCCUUUCAUCUUAUUCUUUCUCAAUUCAGUUUACGUCCCUCGAAUUCUCUCCUUAUUCUUUUUCUCAAUCCAUCGCUUUGCGUUGUUCUGUCCCUAAGAGCAACUCUAAUGAGGCGACCUAUUUCGUGCGCCGUCGUCCGUUUGGAUCGGUACGAACACAAAAGGCGGCCCAACGCGUCGAUCCAAACGGACGCAUGUUCGUUUUUCAUCCGCGGGCGACCCGUUCCCGAUUCAUUUUUGAGCCGGAUUUGCGUCGGCGCGGAUACGCGACGGACCCGCCCACGCUCGUCUUCUCCUCCCCCCGGUCAUGCUGGUCGGUGGCACAUUGGCCUCCCCCCAUCCAACAUCAACCCUCGCCCGCCUCCUUCGUCGCCGAUGCCACCGCCCAUUUUUGCCGGCGACUCUGCCACCUGCCCACUCUCAGUAACGCCGCCCACAUCCGCCCGCUCUCAGCAACGCCGCCCACUCCCACGUCGUCCGCCGCCGUCGUCUUGUCGUUGGGGAGCCAACUGCUUCCCACCCCCACGCCCCCGACCAAGAAGCCGCAUCGCCGCCCGGACAGAUCCUCACCGGCGCGGCCCACUCGUUGGACGCCGGCACGGCAACUAGCUGGUCCGUGCGGGCCGCGACUCCCUUCGCCGACCGUCUUCUUCGUCGACGCCCGCAAGCUGUUCGACAGUUUGCCAAGGUAAAGGAAAAUGGACACCGCCGAUGAGUUCUUUUUCACAAUUUCCUUUGCAACUCCGAUGAUUCGUCGUCCGAUGACGAGGAGGAGAUGUUGGCUGCCGUGUUGGUCCAUCACCACCUCAACAGCCAGCGGCCAUUGUUCUGUGGCUCCAUUCCGGACCACCUUCCGGCGUUGAAUCGCAACCGAGAGAGUGGACAUUUCCUUCUUUGGAAGGACUAUUUUGGUACAGCAAACCCGUUGUUCAAACAUCAACAAUUCCACCACCGUUUCCGUAAGAGUAGGCAUGUUUUCAACUGUAUUAGAGAGGGAGUGGUCGGCUAUGAUGACUAUUUCGAGUGCAAAGCGGAUGCCGUUGGCAAGAUAGGUUUUUCCUCUUAUCAGAAAUGCACUGCCGCCAUCCGAAUGCUUACAUACGGAGUGCCCGGUGAUCUCAUUGACGAGUACGUCCGUAUGAGCGAGUCUACUUGCCUAGAGUCCUUUAUAAGUUCUACAGGGCUGUUAUUGUUGUGUUUGGUCCUGAGUACUUGAGAGAGCCGACUGCUGAAGAUACAGCCCGUUUGUUGGCGAUGGAUGCCAGCAGGGGCUUCCCAGGGAUGCUUGGUAGCAUAUACUGCAUGCACUAGGAGUGGAAAAACUGCCCUUCUGCUUGGCAAGGGCAGUAUAAGGGCCAUGUCAGGGCUUGCACUGUCAUACUAGAGUCUGUGGCAUCUGAAGAUCUCUGGAUCUGGCACUCUUUCUUUGGCAUGGCCGGAUCACACAAUGAUAUCAACGUGCUUCAGCGCUCGCCGGUGUUUGCUAGGCUUGCCGAAGGCAACAGGCCACCGGUGAACUUUACUAUCGACGGUCGCAACUACGACAAAGGAUACUACCUGUGUGACGGUAUCUAUCCUCAGUGGACCACUAUUGUCAAGACAAUACCCGACCCUGUCGGAGAGAAUAGGAAAAGAUUUUCCCAAGAGCAAGAGAGUGCUAGGAAGGAUGUCGAGUGUGCUUUUGAUGUUUUGCAAUCUCGAUGGGGCAUCGUUCGAUAUCCUGCUAAUACUUGGAGCAGGGCCGGCCCUAGCGUAUGGCCGGUGGAGUGACGGCCUAGGGACCACGCAGGAAGGGGGCCCAUAAUAUAAUAUGUAUAUGCAAUAUAACCCAUUAGAAAAUAUGCAAAAAAGUUACAAAAAAGAAGACUUAGAUGGCUAGGCCCGACCAAAAACUUCACAACAGAAACCUAUUCGAGCCCUCGACGCCUCGUCUCCGCUUCGGCGCUGGCGCGCUGCCCUACGGCGCCUCGGCCAUACCCAUACGGCGCCUCGGCCAUACCCAUACGACACCUCAGCCAUACCCAUACGGCGCCUCAGCCGGCUUGUCCUUGGCAGUCCGGCCAUCAGGCAUCAGCAGCAGGUAUUGCAGCGAGCGGCGUCUUCGUCUUGGCCCUCGAUCGAUCUAUCAUCUAAGGCCCUGUUUGGUUCAUAAGUCCUAAGACUUUUUUUAGUCCUAACUUAUAAGUUGUAAGUCCCUAAAAAGUUCCUAUCUGUUUGGUUCCUAGGACUUAACAUGGACUAAAAGACCAUAUUACAACUAUAAGUCUCUAUAAGUUCCUCCCUGUGAGUCUUAUUUCAUAAGUCACAAAUGCCUACUUUAAGUCCCUAUAAGUCCCUUCUGUUUGGUUUAGAUGGGAUUUAAAGGAAUUUAUAAGUUCUAAGUCCCUAAUAAGUCCAUGUAACCAAACACCCUCUAAGUAUCAACUGAUGAAAGCAACAACUCCUUGUAUCCAAUGCAGAAUACGUCCGAUUCAGUCUUGGCUCUCGUAUCCGAAACAACAACAGCCAUCCAUCCCAACAUCCAUCGAGCCGAUUUUCUGGUCAGUCAAAAGGAAACAUUAACGACCAAUUUUUCACCGUUGAGCAUGAACAUGAGAAUUUGAGCAGGACUAUCACGGCUUCUUUGGCUUGGAGCCUUGGACCCUGUCCAUCCAUUCAUCAAAAUUCAGUAUUAGAAGAGUAUGAACAUCGGAAUUCAACACUAGUACGUACGUACUCCAUCCAUCAUUUUUAUUUAGUAAAUAGUAAUUCAAGUACUUUUUCCAUGUAUGCCUAGGGUUUCAAUCAUUUGAUGCAUAAAUUUCUAAUUCUUUGUAUUUUCUAUUCCUCUUUUCUUCAUAAUUUUAGGAUCUGCCAUGUUGCCUAAGAAGAAGCAAUUAUCGGGUGCUGAAAAAAUAAAAAGAAAGAAAGAAAGUGAGCUGAAAAUUCAACCAUUGAAGGGUUCUUUAAAGGGCUCCCUUCUUUAAAUAGGUAGUGCGAGAGAACAACAAGGGAAAAUAAGUAAUCCCGAGCAUGUCGAUUCAGAUGUUGAGGUCAAUGAAGAUGGCCCAAAUUCAGAUGUUGAGGUCAACUCUUUGUGAUAUGGCAAAAUCUUGCAAACAUGCUAUUACAUUCUUUGGUAUUAUAUAACGAAUAUAUGUAUUGUUUCCACGUUCUACUAAAAGGUGGAAUAUUUUUCUUGAAAAUCUUCCAAAAGGAACAAAACGAACUCUCAAACCUUUGUCCAAUAAUCGUUGGGAGAGUCGAAUAAAGAAUGUGCAACCUAUUAGGUACCAAGCUAUCCAUGUAAGAUCAGCUUUGAAGGAACUGGAGGAGACUUCUACUGAUGACCCAGCAGCUGUAAGUGAUGCUCAAUCUUUGGUUAUUGCACUUGAGAAUUUUGAAAGUUUAGUUGGCAUGGUUAUUUGGCAUGAUGUUUUGUUGUCUGUAAAUAUCGUGAGCCAAAAGUUGCAGGAAAAGAUGGUAUGCAUUGAUGCUACUAUAAAACACAUUCAAGGUCUCAUAUCAUAUUUUCAGAAGUAUAGAGAUGAAGGGUUUCAAGCUAGUAUUGAGAUAGCAAAAGCCAUUGCAUCUGAUAUGGACAUAGAGCCAGAAUUUCCUACAAAACGUCAAAGGAAAAGAAAGAGGCAUUAUGAUGAAACCAAUGAUCAAGAUGAGGAAUUAAAGUUGUCAGCUAUGGAAUCCUUCAGAGUUACUUACUUACUAGUCAUUGUUGACAAGCCAAUUCUUUCAUUGACCACUCGCUUUGAUCAGCUGAAGAAAUUUGAAAAGUUAUUUGGUUUCUUAUUCAAUUCAAAAAAUCUGAAGUCCUUGGAUGAUACCAAUUUGCGGAAUUGUUGCACUACUUUUGCAAAAGCUUUUUCUGAUGAUAACUCAUGUGAUGUUGAUCUUGAUGAUUUUGUUUGUGAGUUAAAAGUGUUGCAGGCAACUUUGCCAGAUGGUUUGAUGUCAGCGCUUGAGAUUCUCCAGUUUUUUAUGGCUGUAGAUUGCUAUCCAAAUGUCUGUUGCAUAUCGGAUCCUCUUAACAGUGCCUGUGAUUAUAGCCUCAGCUGAAAGAAGUUUCUCUAAACUGAAACUACUGAAAAAUUAUUUGAGGUCUACUAUGUUACAAGAUAGAUUGGAUGGCUUGGAUAUGUGCUGCAUUGAGAAGGAUAUCUUGGACAAUGUUGAUCUUGAUUGUGCCCUUAAUGACUUUGCAUCAAGAAACGCCCGAAGAAACUUUUUCUGAAGAAUUAAAUUUUAUUAUUAUUAUUAUUGUCGAUGGAAUGAGUCAAUUAUUAUAGUUAAAUUUUAAAGUAAAAAUAUAUGAUCUUAGGACAUAGGGCCCAUGUUGUUGAGUUCGCCUAGGGCAUCCCGAAACACAGGGCCGUCCCUGACCUGGAGCACGCAGACACUGUGGGAGGUGAUGACUGCUUGUGUGAUCAUGCAUAAUAUGAUCGUAGAAAACGAGCGCCCGGAACGUGUGUACGAUCAAGGGUUUCAGUUUCAGGGUGAGAAUGUUGUGCCUGAGCAUGGAGGAGCAGCAACGUUUGAACAGUUCAUCCAAUUUCAUCAAGACAUGCGUGAUUGAGAAACUCACGUGCAACUGCAAAAUGAUUUGGUUGAGCAUAUGUGGGCUCAUGUUGGCAACCAAUAGAUUUAUCUUCUUUUAUUCGUUAGCAAAACUAUGUGAGACAUUUUUAUUUUUAUUCGUCUUGUAAUAACUAUGCUAUUUUCGGUCCAAAUUAUGUUAUUUGAUUCAAACUAUGAAAAUCAUGCAAAAUAGGGCGGCCAGCCGGCCACGACGAUACAUAUGGGUCGGCGCGUUGGGCGUGCUGCCGACCCAUAUCUAAAACAGGGCGGACGCCGGGCGGGCAGCCGACCAAAACAGACAAAAAGCGGGUGAAAUCGCUGUCCGUUUGGGUCGACCCGUUGGAGUUGCUCUAAUACAUGUCUGUGUUAACUCCAAGCUUAUGAUCAACAUCCUUCUUCCCAUUGCAACACAUAAGCCAUUUUGCACAUGUUCCUUCAUUAAUGUAUACUUUUUUUUUCUUACAGACAAAUAUCGUUAUGAUCUCAUUCUUCCAGCUACAUUUGUUUCUUUGCCAUUUAAUUUUUCCCUCAACGCCAACCUUGUAGGUCUUGUUUUCUCAAAUUUCAUUCAACAAAACAUGUGUUUUCUUUCUUUCCAACUUAUGCUUGUCUUUGAAGUUAUGUAUAUGUCAGAAACUUGUGUCAUACAAACAUAUGUACAUAUCAAGUUUUGUUCUUUCAAAGUUACCACGUGAGAAGAGUCUUCGCGAGUUUCGUUGUUUGCUACUUAAAUUGCUAUUUACCUUUUUUUCUACGCCCAUCACACACGUCAUUUCUUCAAGGGUUACGUGGCAUUUACUUCUGUAAUGACAAGUCCACUUGCCUCGCGCACGAACUUAUUUGUCUCGACUCUUUUUUGCUCAGGGUCUUUGUUGCCACUCAUCUCAGAUUCGAUCUCUUCAAACUCAUACAGAACGAUGAUGCCCUAGUCCACGCAUAUGUGGGCCUGCAAUGAUCAUCACCCACCGCACCUACUGUGUAUCUAUGUCUAUUGUUGCCAUCCCCACUCGUCCUAGGCGAGAGAACCCCAAUGGAGCUUAACGCGCACAGGAUGAAGUCGAGGUAAAUUUCUAUGUAUCCCGUUUAAUCUCGUUCAAAUGAGUGUCCAAUGGUUAUUUUCUCUUGAAUGGACAAUUUGUAUGUGGAGUGCCUAGUCAAUUAUGACGUCAGAGGGUUGUGCAUGCUUUGGAGAACAACAUCUUAUGCCUCAUCCUUCUAGAAUAUUGUAGAGAAAUGACAAUAACCUUGAACUAAUUCUCCAGUUCUUAAUCAUUAGAUGCAUGCUUUGUUAGUUAGUUGAGGAUGAUCCCUUACUAGUUAUGUGGUCACUUAUGUACUAAAAAGGGUGUGAAUACAACUUAUGCAAACUGCACUUCAUAUCGAACAUACAUGCAACUACAUUUCAUGAUUUGUUCACGCAAUAUAUUACUCCGUAAAGCAUUGUACAAUUCAAAAUAUGCUAAAUAUAACCUUUUACAAUUUUAAUUAAUUUUUAUAUAUACACAUUUCAUACAGAUAUCACUGCACUUAUCUUGCAUAUAUGUUGUCAUUAUCCACCCACAUACGACACCCCAUACUAUAUAUAUGUGUGUUUUUGCAUUAGUAUCUAACGCUACAUAGAACGCGUUGCUUAUGCAAAUUACAUAAUGAGAUGUACCAAUUUAUAAUUCUGAAAAUUUGCAACAUAAUGCUUUCGUACAUUUGAAACUUCUAUAGAUUCGAUCGAAAUCUCACUAAUACAAUUCUAUACAUGCUAUGAAGACAAUGUUGGAAAUAUGCCCGAGAGGCAAUAAUAAAUUAGUUAUUAUCAUAUUUCUUUGUUCAUGAUAAUCGUUUAUUAUCCAUGCUAUAAUUGUAUUGAUUGGAAACUCAGAUACAUGUGUGGAUACAUAGACAAACACAGUGUCCCUAGUAAGCUUCUAGUAGACUAGCUCGUUGAUCAAAGAUGGCUAAGGUUUCCUAGCCAUACACAUGAGUUGUCAUUCGAUAACGGGAUCACAUCAUUAGGAGAAUGAUGUGAUGGACAAGGUCCAAUCGUAAGCAUAGCAUAUGAUCCUGUGAGUUUAUUGCUACUGCUUUAUUCAUGUCAAGUAUCUAUUCAUACGACCAUGAGAUCAUGCAACUCACUGACACCGGAGGAAUGCCUUGUGUGUAUCGAACGUCACAACGUAACUGGGUGACUAAAGGUGUUCUACAGGUAUCUCCGAGGGUGUCUGUUGUGUUGGCAUGGAUCAAAACUAGGAUUUGUCGCUCCAUAUAACAAAGAGGUAUAUCUAGGCCCACACGGUAAUACAACAUCACAAGAAUCUUGCAUCCAAUGUGACUAAGAAGUUAGUCACGUGAUCUUGUAUUAUGGAACGAUUAAAGAGACUUUCCGGUAAUGAGAUUGAACUAGGUAUGGAGACACCAACGAUCGAAUCUCGGGGAAGUAACAUACUGAUGGACAAAGGGAAUUGCAUACGUGAUUGAUUGAAUCCAUGACAUCGUGGUUCAAUCGAUAAAGAUCUUCGUAGAAUAUGUAGGAAACAAUAUGGGCAUCUAGCUCCCGCUAUUGGUUAUUGAUUGGAGAGUGUCUCUGUCAUGUCUGCAUAGUUCUCGAACCACAGGGUCUGCACACUUAUGGUUCAAUGAAGAUUUGGUGUUAAUGAUUUAUGUAUGAUGGAGACCGAAAGUUGUUGUCUCGGAUGAGAUCCCGGACAUCAGGAGGAGUUCCGGAAUGGCCCAGAGACAAAGAUUGAUAUAUGAGAAAGAGGUAUUCGGGUUUCGGAAAGGUUCCAGGUGUUCUAGGUAUUAUAUCGGGAGUGCCGAAAGGGUUCCGCGGGUCCACCGGGAGAGGCCCACCCAUCCAGGGGCACAUGGGGUGAAGAGGUGGCGCACCAGCCCCUGGUGGGCUAGGCAACCGACCCUAAGGGCCCAUGCGCCCCAAUGGUGGUAGGUGGGAGGAGUCCUACAGGAGAGAGGCUCGUCCCUAGGGUGCGCCCCACCUCCCUUGUAGAAGGUGGACACCUCCUUGGCCACCGACCCUGGGGGAAACCCUAGGGCACCACCCCUCCUCCCUUCCCCCUAUAUAUAGUGGAGAGGAGAGAGGGCAGCCGCACCAUAAGCCACGGCGCAGCCUCUCCCUCUCCCUCGAGAUUAGUUUCUCCUCUAGAUCAUCGCGGUAGCGCUUGGCGAAGCCCUACCGGGGCAGCCCCACCACCACCACUGCCACGCCAUCAUGCUGCGAGAGAACUCAUCUACCUCUCCGCCCUUGCUUGCUGGAUCAAGGAGGCGGAGACGUCAUCGGGUUGUACAUGUGCUGAACGCGGAGGUGCCGUCCGUUCAGUGCUAGAUCGGGACAGAUCGUGGUAGGAUCGCUGGACGGAUCGUGAUUUGAUCGCAAAGACGUUCAACUAUAUCAACCGCGUUAUAUACGCUUCCGCUUAGCGAUCUACAAGGGUAGGUAGAUGCAAUAUCUCCUCUCGUAGAUGUUCAACUCCUAUAUUGAUCUUGGUGAGCGUGGGAAAUUUCUUUGUUUCCCAUGCAACAUUCCCCAACAGUGUCAUCAUGAGCAAGGUCUAUGCGUAGAUAACAUGCACGAGUAGAACACAAAAGAGUUUGUGGGCAUUGAUGUUCAAAUUGCUCACUUCCAUAGUCUUCUUUUGAUUCAGCGGUAUUCCGGGAUGAAGCGUCCCGGAGCAACCUUACUCGUCCACGUAUGAGAGAACGGUUCCAUCGACUAACAUGCAACUUGUUGCAUAAAGAUGGUUGGCGGGUGUCUGUCUCUCUCACUUUAAUUGAAUCAGCUUCGACACACGGGGUACUUGUAGAAGGUUAAAUAGCAACUUCAAUAUCAUCCUGGUGGCUUUGCGUAGGUAAGAACGGUUCUUGCUAGUUACCCAUAGCAGCCACGUCAAACAUGCAACAAAAAGUAGAGGACGUCUAACUUGUUUUUGGAGGGUAUGUUGUGAUAUGAUAUGGCCAAUGACAUGAUGUGAUAUAUGUGAUGUAUGAGAUGAUCAUGUUUUGUAUAGAAUUAUCAUGACUUGAUGUCGAUGAGUACGGCAACCGACAGGAGCCAUAGGGUUGUCUUUAAUUAUUUAUACCUUUUGCUUUACUUGAUUGCUAUGAGCUAUCAAUGGUGGUAGAAGCAUAGUUGGCGCGACAAACUCAAUGGCGACACGAUGAUGGAGAUCAUGGUGUCAUGCCGGUAAUGAUGGAUUUCAUGUCGGUGCUUUGGAUAUGGAGAUCAAAAGCACAAGAUGACGAUGGCCAUAUCAUGUCACUAUUAUGAUUUGCAUGUGAUGUUAAUCCUUUUAUGCAUCUUCUUUUUAUUAGGACAACGGUACCAUUAUAAAAUGAUCCCUCACUAAUGUUUCAAGAUUAAAUUGUGUUCUCCCCAAGUGUGCACUGUUGCGAAGGUUCGUCGUUUCGAGGCACCACGUGAUGAUCGGGUGCGAUAGACUCUACGUUCGCAUACAACAAGUGUAAGCCAGUUUUGCACAUGCAUAACACUUGGGUUAAAAUUGACAAGCCUAGCAUGUACACACAUGGCCUCGGAACAUAGGAGACCGAAAGGACGAGCGUGAGUCACAUAGUAGAUAUGAUCAACAUGGGGAUGUUCGCCAUUGAAACCACCUCAUCUCACAUGAUGAUCGAACUUGGGUUGGUGGAUUUGGAUCAUGUCACACUCGAACAACCAGAGGGAUGUUGAUUUGAGUGGGAGUUCUUAAGUAAUAUGAUUAAUUGAACGCAUUAUCAUGAACAUAGUCUAAGUUGUCUUUGCAAAGUAUGUUGUAGAACAAUAGCUCGCGUUCUAGCUCCCCUAUAUUUUUGACAUGUUUCUAGAGAAAACUAAGUUGAAAGAUGAUAGUAGCAAUUAUACGGACUGGUUCCAUAAACUAAGGAUUGUCCUCAUUGCUGCACGGAAGGCUUAUGUCCUUGAUGCACCACUCGGUGUGCCGCCCCUUGCUGCCUCUUGAGCUUGCCUUUGUUUUUCCCUUGAAGAGGAAAGGGUGAUGCAGCACAGGAGCAGUAAGUAUUUCUUUCAGUUUGAGAACCAAGGUAUUAAUCCAGUAGGAGAAUCAAGCCAAGUGUCCAGAGUACCUGCGCAAACACAAACGAGCUUGCACCCAACGCUAUAAAGGGGUUGUCAAUCCCUUCAAGAUUGAUUGCAAAGUGAGAUCUCAAGGCGGAAAGUGCAACGAAGUAAAAGUGAAAGGCUGAAAAUAUGGUGNNNNNNNNNNGGCCAUAGUGUUCACUAUAGGCUUCUCUCAAAAUAGCAAAUAUUAUGGUGGGUGAACAAAUUACUGCUACUUCGACAACAGACCUUCCCUGGUACUGCGCAAGAAUCCUGCUGCUAUGGCUACGCCUUUAGGGAGUUCCUUGGCAAAUAUGCAAAGGAUUUCCCCGCGGCCUUGGAGCCUUGCAUUGGUGUUCCCUUGAAGAGGAAAGGGUGAUGUAGCACAGCGGCGGUAAGUAUUUCCCUCAGUUUUGAGAACCAAGGUAUCGAACCAAUGGAAGAUCUCGUCAAGUCACAAGUACCUGCACAAACACAAAGAGCUUGCACCCAACGCUAGGAAGGGGUUGUCAAUCCCUUAUAGAUUGUUUGCAAAGUGAGAACUGAAAGCAACAAAGAGUAAACAGAGCAAAGUAAAAGUGAAACUGGAAACAAUAGGUGUGAAUAGACCCGGGGCUGUAGUGUUCACUAGUGUCUUCUCUCAUGAAAGCAAGUAGACGGUGGGUGAACGAAUUACUGUCGAGCAAUUGAUAGAACCGCGCAAAGUCGUGACGUUAUCUAAGGCAGUGAUUAUAUCUAUAGGCAUCACGUCCAAAACAAGUAGACCCAUACUUUCUGCAUCUACUACUAUUACUCCACACGUCGACCGCUAUCCAGCAUGCAUCUAGUGUAUUAAGUCCAAAAGAACAUAGUAACGCCUUAAGCAAGAUGACAUGAUGUAGAUGGACAAUCUCAUAUCUACGAUAAAAGCCCAUCUUGUUACCCUUGAUGGCAACAACAUGAUGCGUGCCUUGUUGCCCCUUCUGUCACUAGGAAAGGUCACCACACGGUAUGAACCCAAAACCAAGCACUUCUCCCAUUGCAAGAAUCAUAGAUCUAGUUGGCCAAACAAAACCCAAGACUCGGAGAGACUUACAAGGAGAUCAAAUCAUGCAUAUAAGAAAUCAGCAAAGACUCAAAUAUAAUUCACAGAUAAUCUAAUCACAAAUCCACAAUUCAUCGGAUCUCGACAAAUACACCGCCAAAGAGGAUUACAUCGGAUAGAUAUCCAUGAAGACCAUGGAGAACUUUGUAUUGAAGAUCCAAGAGAGAGAAGAAUCCAUCUAGCUACUAACUACGGACCCGUAGGUCUGAAGUAGACUACUCACGAGUCAUUGGAGGGGCGAUGAUGUUGAUGUAGAAGCCCUCCAACUCCAAAGUCCCCUCCGGCAGGGCACCGUGAAGGGUCUCCAGAUGAGAUAUCGCGGAAACGGAAGCUUGUGGCGGAGGAAAAGUGUUUUCGUCAAUGCCCUGAUUUUUUUUCUGGAUUUUAGGGAAUAUAUAGGCGAAAGAGCUAGGUCAGGGGGCGCCAGGGAGGCCACAAACCUGGUAGCCGCCGCCCCCUGGUGGCGUCUACCGGGCUUGUGGGCCCCCUGUGGCUCUCCUUCCUUGGCCCUCAAGUCCCCUGAUCUUCUUCCGUUCUGGAAAAUUUUAUUUCGGGGAUUUUAUUCCGUUUGGACUCCGUUCCAAAAUCAGAUAUGAAAAGAGUCAAAAACACAGAAAAAACAGGAACUGGCACUUGGCACAGAAUUAAUAAGUUAGUCCCAAAAAAGAUAUAAAAGGUAAACAAAACAUCCAAAGUUGACAAGAUAACAACAUGUAACCAUCAAAAAUUAUAGAUACGUUUGAGACGUAUCAAUUACUGUCGAGCAAUUGAUAGAACCGCGCAAAGUCAUAACGAUAUCUAAGGCAAUGAUCAUACAUAUAGGCACCACGACCGAGACAAGUAGACCGAUACUUUCUGCAUCUACUACUAUUACUCCACNNNNNNNNNNCGACCGCUAUCCAGCAUGCAUCUAGUGUAUUGAGUUCAUGACGAACAUAGUAAAGUCUUAAGCAAGAUGACAUGAUGUAGAGGGAUAAACUCAAACCAAUGAUGUAAACCCCAUCUUUUUACCCUUGAUGGCAACAACACGAUGCGUGCCAUGCUACCCCUUCUGUCACUGGGUGAGGUCACCGCACGGUAUGAACCCAAAACCAAGCACUUCUCCCAUUGCAAGAAUCAUAGAUCAAGUUGGCCAAACAAAACCCACAACUCGAAGAGAAUACAAGGAUAUGAAAUCAUGCAUAUAAGAGAUCAUAAGAAACUCAAAUAAGAUUCAUAGAUAAUCUGAUCAUAAAUCCACAAUUCAUUGGAUCUCGACAAACACACCGCAAAAUAAGAUUACAUCGGAUAGAUCUCCAUGAAGAUCAUGGAGAACUUUGUAUUGAAGAUCCAAGAGAGAGAAGAAGCCAUCUAGCUACUAGCUAUGGACCCGAAGGUCUAUGGUGAACUACUCACGCAUCAUCGGAGAGGUCAUGGUGUUGAUGAAGAAGCCCUCUGUAUCCGAAUCCCCCAUCCGGCAGGGCACCAGAACGUGCCCCAUAUGGGAUCUGCCGGAGACAGAAGCUUGCGGCGGCGGAAAAGUAUUUUCGUGGAUCUCUCGCGCAGUUUUGGAUUUUUUAGGAAUUUAUAGGCGGAAGAGGUAGGGCAGACGAGCCACAGGGGGCCCACAAGCCUGCUAGGCACGGCCCCCCUGGCCGUGCCUAGGGAGCCCACAAGCCUGCUAGGCACGGCCCCCCUGGCCGUGCCUAGGGGGCUUGUGGAGUCCCCUGGUGGCUUCUGCCUUGGUUCUCACGUCCCGUGCGUAUCUUCUGUUCCGGAAAAAAUCUUUUCGGAAGUUUUAUUCCGUUUGGACACCGUUUAAAAUCCUCCUCUGAAAAGGGUCAAAAAACACGGAAAAAACAGGAACUGGCACUUGGCACUAAGUUAAUAAGUUAGUCCCAAAAAAGAUAUAAAAGGCAUACAAAACAUCCAAAGUUUGACAAGAUAAUAGCAUGGAACCAUCUAAAAUUAUAGAUACGUUGGAGAUGUAUCAAGCAUCCCCAAGCUUAACUCUUGCUCGUCCUCGAGUAGGAAAGUGAUAAAGACUGAAUUUUUGAUGUGGAAUGCUACCUAGCAUAGUUGUCCUUUGUAACUUCUUUCAUGUGACAUGAAUGUUCAGAUCCGUAAGAUUAAAACAAUAGUUUGUUGUUGACAUGAAAACAAUAAUACUUCAAGCAAACUAGCAAGGUAAUCAUGAACUUUCGAAAUAACAAGGCCAAAGAAAGUUAUCCCUACAAAAUCAUAUAGUCUGGCUAUGCUCCAUCAUCCCCACACAACUAAUUUAAAUCAUGCACAACCCCGGUAUUGGCCAAGUAAUUGUUUUCACACUCUUACUUUCUCAAACCUUUUUCAACUCUCACGCAAUACAUGAGCGUGAGCCAUGGAUAUAGCACUAUGGUGGAAUAGAGUGUGGUGGAGGUUGUGAGACAAAAAGCAGGAGAUGGUCACAUUGACUCGGCGUAUCAAAGGACUAUGGAGAUUCCCUUUAAUAGACAUCAAUGUGAAUGAGUAGGGAUUGCCAUACAAAGGAUGCACUAGAGAUAAGUAUGUGAAAGGUCAAAAGGAGAACUAGUGGGUGUGCAUCCAACUUGCUUGCUCACGAAGACCUAGGGCAAUUUUUGAGGAAGCCCAUCAUUGGAAUAUACAAGCCAAGUUAUAUAAUGAAGAUUCCCACUAGCAUAUGGUGGUGACAAAACAAGAGGCUCUCAAUCAUGAAGAACAUGGUGCUAAUAUGAAGCACAAGUGUGGAAAGAGAUAGUAGCAUUGUCCCUUCUCUCUUUUUCUCUUUUUUUGUUUGGGCUCUUUGGCCUCUUUUUUUUUAUUUUUUUAUGUGGGCAACUUUGGCCUUUUUUUUUAUUUCCUCACAUGGGACAAUGCUCUAAUAGUGAUGAUCAUCACACUUUUAUUUACUCACAGCUCAAAGCUUAGAACGAUGAUGACUCUAUAGGAAAUGCCUCCGGCAGUGUACCGGGAUGUGCAUAGCUUGGCGUAUGACGUUGAAACAUCUCGCUAGCUAUCUUACGAUCAUGCAAUGGCAAUAUGAGAGUGACGGCACAAGUCAUGAGACGGGACGGUGGGAGUUGCAUGGCAAUAUAUCUCGGAAUGGCUUUGAAAAUGCCAUAGUAGGUAGGUAUGGUGGAUGUUUUGAGGAAGGCAUAUGGUUGAUUUGUGCACGAAAAUUGCGCGGUACUAGAGAGGCUAGCAAUGGUGGAAGGUGAAAGUGCAUCUAUACCAUGGACUCACAUUAGUCAUGAAGAACUCACAUACUUAUUGCGAAUGUUUUUAUUAGUAAUCGAAACAAAGUGCUAAACGCAUACUCCUAGGGGAAGGGUUGGUAGGUGUAAACCAUCACGCGAUCCCGACCGCAACACAAAGGAGGACAAUCAAUAGAUCAAUUAUGCUCCGACUUCCUAACAUAGCGGUUCACCAUACGUGCAUGUUACGGGAAUCACUAACUUCAACACAAGUAUUUCUAGAUUCACAACACCCUACUAACAUAACUCUUAAUAUUACCAAAUCCACGUCUCAAAACUAAUUGAGAGGAAUCAAACUUCUCUUUCUACUCAAUGCACAUGAAGAUGGAAGUUUUAUUGUAUCCUCUUUGGAUACCUAUCACCUUUGGGACUACUUUCAUAGCACAAGCCAACUACCAAGUUACGCACCACCAUGCUCUAAAAGAUCCAAGUGAAGCACAUAGAGCAACAUGGUCUAGCUCAAAAGAUAUAAGUGAAGCACAAUGAGUUCUAGGAAAUUCACGAUGAGUGCGUGUCUCUCUCAAAAGGUGUGCAGAAAGGAUGAUUGUGACACAACAAAAAGAAAAGACUCCUACGAUACAAGGCGCUCCAAGAAAAACACAUAUCACGUGGUGAAUAAAAAUAUAGCUCCAGGUAAUGUUACCGAUGGAUUGAAGACGAAAGAGGGGAUGCCUUCCCGUGGCAUCCCCAAGCUUAGGCUUUUUGGUGUCCUUGAAUUUGGCUUGGGAUUCCCUGGGCAUCCCCAAGCUUGAGCUCUUUCCACUCUUUAUCCCUUUGUCCAUGAGAACAUCACCCAAAACUUGAAAACUUCACAACAAAAAACUUAAACAGAAACUCGUGAUAUCAUUAGCACAAGAAAACAAACUACCACCUCUUUAGGUAUUGUAUCAAUAUUGAUUUCUAUUUAUAUUGGUGUUAGCUUACUGUAUUCUCACUUUUCCAUGGCUAGUACCCCCGGAUACUAUCCAUAGUUUCAUCAAAACAAGCAACCAUCACAACAAAAACAGAAUCUCUCAAAAACAGACCAAUCUGUAGCAAUCUGUAUACUUCGUAUACUUCUGGUACCUAAAAAAUUCUGAACAAUUACGAAAGCCUGGUAAAAAGCAUAUCAACCAGCAGGAAAAAGAAUCAACUCAAAAGCUCUUUCUGAGUAAAAAUGGAAAAUAAUUUCGUGAGCGAAAAGUUUAUGUCUUUUUCCAGUAGGAUCAAACAACCAACACCAAACUAGUCAUAAAGGUUCUGCUUGGCUCAAACACAAAAAGAAACACAAAAAACACAAUAAUAAUAGAAUUAUGAUGGUGUUGACGCAACAAAACAGAAAGAAAAAUAUAAAUUCAUUGGGUUGCCUCCCAACAAGCGCUAUUGUUUAACGCCCUUAGCUAGGCAUAAGGUGAUGGAAUCACGUAUCGUCGUCUUUGGUGCUCAAACCAUAAGUAGGGUGAUCACUCAUCAUCUUAAGGUCUUAAUCUUUCUUACUAGAUGGUUCACCACUAUUUUUAGGAACAAAAAAAACUUGGUGGCCUUAUUGUGGGCAAAAUUUGGAGUGUUCUGCACAACGGCAAAAGCGGAACCCAAGUUGGUUAUAACAUCCUAGUUUGCCAAUCCUAGCGGAAUCAUGACCUAGUUUUUUUGUUAACUAUGGGUUCCUUAUCCUUUAAAUUUUUCAAAGCCAUUCCCACCUUGGAUCCAUACUGAGUGAUUUGAUUGUGGAUCUUUUUAUCCAAAUUCUCAAUGAGUUCGAUCGUAGCAACUUUAUUUUCAAUGAUAUCCAGCCUACGCAUCACAUGUUCCAGAGUUAAGGUAGUUCGAUUAACCAUGAGUGGGGGUGAGCCUACGAAAUUUAUUAAAGCUCCGUAAGAAUCAAUGGUAUGGCUACCCAAGAAAUUUCCAGCUAAGAUGGUGUCAAGAAUAUACCUAUUCCAAGGGGAAAUACCCACAUAAAAGCUGCGACGCAGGUCGGUAGUAGAUUGCAUACGAGUAGAUCUACUCUGAGCAUUGCAAAUCCUAUACCAAGCAUCCUUUAAGUUUUCUUCCUCAUUUUGUUUGAAAUUGAGAACUUCGUUCUCGGGAGUAUCGUUCGAAGCGGUGGGUCUAGCCAUGAGGACAGGUAGACUAUCCCACACAAGCGAACAGAAAGCAAGCGAGGGAAAAGGGUGAACGAAAAAGACAAAUGAAAAAGGCAAAUAUUUUUGUAAAUUUUUAUUUUUCAGAAGUGGGGGAGAGGAAAACGAGAGGCAAAAAAUUAAAUGCAAGAGAUGAGUUUGCGACACUUACUUGGAUGAGCUUCACCAAGAACUUGAUCCUCCCCGGCAACGGCGCCAGAAAUCUUUUUGCUGCCUCUUGAGCUUGCGUUGGUUUUUCCCUUGAAGAGGAAAGGGUGAUGCAGCACAGGAGCAGUAAGUAUUUCCCUCAGUUUGAGAACCAAGGUAUAAAUCCAGUUGGAGAAUCAAGCCAAGUGUCCAGAGUACCUGCGCAAACACAAUCGACCUUGCACCCAACGCUAUAAAGGGGUUAUCAAUCCCUUCAAGAUUGAUUUCAAAGUGAUAUCUGAAGGCGGAAAGUGCAACGAAGUAAAAGUGAAAGGCUGAAAAUAUGGUGUGAAGUAGACCUGGGCGCCAUAGUGUUCACUAGAGGCUUCUCUCAAAAUAGCAAAUAUUACGGUGGGUGAACAAAUUACUGUCGAGCAAUUGAUAGAACCGCGCAAAGUCAUGACGAUAUCUAAGGCAAUAAUCAUACAUAUAGGCAUCACGUCCGAGACAAGUAGACCGAUACUUUCUGCAUCUACUACUAUUACUCCACACAUUGACCGCUAUCCAGCAUGCAUCUAGUGUAUUGAGUUCAUGACUAGUGUAUUACUCCACACUCCGAUUGGGCUGAAAUUUUAACAUAUUGAGCAUGCAUCUAGUGUAUUACUCCACACUCCAAUUUAGUUGAAAUUUUAACACGAUUUUCUUCCGGAUAUUAUCUUUCUUGCGGCGAAAGUAGGGCCCCAACCUCCUUAGGGAUUGGUCACAAGCCUGCAGGCCGUGGCCUAGGGGGGGCGCGCCUCGUGGGCUUGUGACCUCCUCGGGCAUCGUUUCGCGUAGAUUCUUCUUCCCAAAAAUCAUAAAUAUUCCAAAAAAAUCCCCAUAGGUUUUUUUAUUGCGUUUGGACUUCGUUUGGUAUGGAUAAUCUGCGAAACANNNNNNNNNNNNNNNNNNNNNNNNNNNNNNNNNNNNNNNNNNNNNNNNNNNNNNNNNNNNNNNNNNNNNNNNNNNNNNNNNNNNNNNNNNNNNNNNNNNNNNNNNNNNNNNNNNNNNNNNNNNNNNNNNNNNNNNNNNNNNNNNNNNNNNNNNNNNNNNNNNNNNNNNNNNNNNNNNNNNNNNNNNNNNNNNNNNNNNNNNNNNNNNNNNNNNNNNNNNUUAUAGAUACGACGGAGACGUAUCAGCAUCCCCAAGCUUAAUUCCUGCUCGUUCUCGAGUAGGUAAAUGAUAAAAAAGAUAAUUUUUUAUGUGGAAUGCUACCUAGCAUAAUCUUGAUCAUAUAAUCGAAUCAUGACAUGGAGACUAAAACACGAGUGAUUCGAAGCAAUAGUCUAUCAUUUGACAUAAAGACAAUAAUAUUUCAAGCAUACUAACAAAGCAAUCAUGUCUUCUCAAAAUAUCAUGGCCAAAGAAAGUUAUCCCUACAAAAUCAUAUAGUCUGGCUAUGCUCCAUCUUCCCCACACAACGUAUUUAAAUCAUGCACAACCCCGGUUUUAGCCAAGCAAUUGAUUCAUACUUUAGCGUUCUCAAACUUUUUCAACUUUCACGCAAUACAUGAGCGUGAGACAUGGACAUAGCACUAUAGGUGGAAUAGAAUAUGGUGGUUGUGGAGAAGACAAAAAGGAGGAGAUAGUCUCACAUCAACUAGGCGUACCAACGGGCUAUGGAGAUGCCCAUCCAUAGAUAUCAAUGUGAGUGAGUAGGGAUUGCCAUGCAACAGAUGCACAAGAGCUAUAAGUGUAUGAAAGCUCAAAAAGAAACUAGUGGAUGUGCAUCCAACUCGCUUGCUCACAAAGACCUAGGGCAAUUUGAGGAAGCCCAUCAUUAGAAUAUACAAGCCAAGUUCUAUAAUGAAAAUUUCCCACUAGUAUAUGAAAGUGGCAACAUAGGAGACUCUCUAUCAUGAAGAUCAUGGUGCUACUUUGAAGCACAAGUGUGGUAAAGGAUAGUAGCAUUGUCCCUUCUCUCUUUUUCUCUCAUUUUUUUGUUUUGGGCUCUUUGGCCUUUUUUUAUUUGGGCUUCAUUGGCCUCUUUUAUUACCUCCUCACAUGGGACAAUGCUCUAAUAAUGAUGAUCAUCACACUUUAAUUUACUUACAACUCGAUAUUUAGAACAAAAUAUGAUUCUAUAUGAAUGCCUCCGGCGGUGUACCGGGAUGUGCAAUGAUCUAGCGUAGCAAUGCCAUCAAAAAACGGACAAGCCAUGAAAACAUCAUGCUAGCUAUCUUACGAUCAUGCAAAGCAAUAUGACAAUGAUGGUGCGUGUCAUAAUAAACGGAACGAUGGAAGUUGCAUGGCAAUAUAUCUUGGAAUGGCUAUGGAAAUGCCAUAAUAGGUAGGUAUGGUGGCUGUUUUGACGAAGGGUAUAUGGUGGGUGUAAUGCACCGGCGAAAGUUGCGCGGUACUAGAGAGGCUAGCAAUGGUGGAAGGGUGAGAGUGCAUAUAAUCCAUGGACUCAACAUUAGUCAUAAAGAACUCACAUACUUAUUGCAAAAGUCUAUUAGUCAUCGAAACAAGGUACUACACGCAUGCUCCUAAGGGAAGGGUUGGUAGGAGUUAACCAUAGCGCGAUCCCGACUUCCACACAAAGGAUGACAAUCAAUAAAUAAAUCAUGCUCCGACUUCGUCACAUAACGGUUCACCAUACGUGCAUGCUACGGGAAUCACAAACCUUAACACAAGUAUUUCUACGAAUAUACAAUUCUCACUAGCAUGACUCUAAUAUCACAUCUUCAUGUCGCAAAACUAUUGCAAGGAAUCAAACAUAUCAUAUUCAGUGAUCUACAAGUUUUAUGUAGGAUUUUAUGACUAACCAUGUGAAUGAUCAACUCCUGUUAACUCUCUAAAUAGGUAUAAGUGAAGCAUGAGAGUUUAAUUCUUUCUACAAAAGAUAUGCCCCGCUCUAACAAAUGUAAGUGAAGCAAAAGAGCAUUCUACAAAUGGCGGUUUUCUAUGUGUAGGGAAACAGGCAAUCCAAACUUCAAAUGAUAUAAGUGAAGCACAUGAAGCAUUCUAUAAAGCCAUACUCAAAAGAUAUAAGUGAAGUGCAAAGAGCAUUCUAUAAAUCAACCAAGGACUAUCUCAUACCAGCAUGGUGCAUAAAAUAAAAAGGGGAAAUAAACACAAAAGACGCUCCAAGCAUUUGCACAUAUCAUGUGACGAAUAAAAAUAUAGCUCCGAGUAAAAUUACCGAUAGAUUGUAGACGAAAGAGGGGAUGUCUUCCGGGCCAUCCCCAAGCAUAGACGCUUGAGUAUUCCUUUGAUAUUACCUUGGGGUGCCUCGGGCAUCCCAAGCUUGGGCUCUCGCCUCUCCUUAUUCCUUCAUCCAUCGUGGUCUCACCCAAAACUUGAAAACUUCAAUCACACAAAACUCAACAAAACCUUCGUGAGAUCCGUUAGUAUAAUAAAGUAAAUCACCACUUUAAGUACUGUUGUGAACUCAUUCCAAAUUCAUAUUAGCAUUAUAUCUAUUGUAAUCCAACUUCACCAUGGUUCAUACCCCCCGAUACUACCCAUAGAUUCAUCAAAAUAAGAGAACAAUGCAUAGAAAACAGAAUAUGUCAAAAACAGAACAGUCUGUAGUAAUCUGAACUUAUACCAUCCUUCUGAUACUCCACAAAUUCUGAAAAAUUAUGAAAAUUAGGGAAAUUUGCAUAUCAAUCAUCAGCAAAAAGAAUCAACUCAAAAUCUCUUUUUGGAUAGGAAUUAAAAAUAAUUUCGUGAGCACAAAGUUUCUGUCUUUUUCAGCAUGAUCAAACAACUAUCAUCCAAACUAAUCAUAAAGGCUUUACUUGACACAUUAUUUUUAUAAUACAAUGGAAUUGUACAAGGGGAUAAUUAUUUUUGCGAGAAACUUCCAUGAAAAAUUCUACAUUGUUUCCAUGAGCAUGAACACAAGUGUUCAAAGUCGACCCUCACUUCCGCAAUGCAUCACCUUUCAAUCGCUUCUCUUUUUGAAAAGGUUUUAAGUACCCCUCUAUGUUUUUUUGUUUUUAAACUAUAUAAAAUCACUCAACAGAAAUAAAUGACUCUCUAAAACUUCCGGGUUGUCUCCUAGGCAGCGCUUUCUUUAAAGUCAUUAAGUUAGGCAUAAAGUGCUCAAGUAAUGGAUCCACCUGGAUCCCAAGGUAUAUCAAAGCCAAUUUUAAUUAACAAUGAUUAGUAAUUUAGUAGUGAGCACAAGGUACCAUAUAUCAUGCAAUGACGAAUUCUAACUCUCUUCCUAUGCAUUGGCAUGUCAUAAAAGAACAAUUCAUGCACAUCAAGUAAAGGCCAAUACAUAUCAUAAGCAGUUUCUUGCAAUUUUAUCAUAUUGGAAACAUAGAGAGGUGGAGAUGUAGUUCCUCUCUCAUAAUAAUUGCAAGUAGGAGCAGAAAGCACAUGCAUAUUAUAUUCAUCAAAAUCAUCAUGUGUAAUAGUAGAAGGCAACCCAUCUAUGUAAUCCCUAAUAAGAGCAAACUUCUCCGAUAUAGUGUAGUUGGGAGAGUUCAAAAAGAUAAUAGGACUAUCAUAAGUGGGUGCGAUAGCAACAGUUUCAUGUUUAACAUAAGGAACUAUAGCAAGUUCAUCUUCAUAAGCAUCAUUCAUAUUGGCAUCAUGGCCACAAGCAUAGCAAGCAUCAAGUUCAUCAAAAAGGGAUAUUUCAAAUGAAUCCAAGGGAUCAUAGCAAUCAACAUGGCAUUCAUCCUUCGAAGGGAAAUUAAACAACGCAUGAGCUGAAGAGUUACUCUCAUUAGAAGGUGGGCACGGGUAGCUAGUCCGCUCUUCCUCCUUUUGUUCUUCGCUCUCCUCGUCAUCUUUGUCAUCUAAUGAGCUCACAGUUUCAGCAUUUUCUUCUUCCAUAGUUUCCUGCAAAAUAUUAGUCUCUUCUUGGGCAGCAUAGAAUUUCUCCAUAAAUCGAUAAAUAUGGGCAUUAUAUUCAUAAUUAAUAUAACAAUAACGAAGCAUAACCAAAUUUUCAGAUCGGUAAGCAGCAUCAUCAUUAUCAUCACACCUUUUAAACAGAGCUUCAAUUUCAUAAGCACCCAUAAAAGCAACAAACUCUUCUAUUUGUUCCACAUCAUAGUAAUCAUAUAUACCAUUAGCAUAAGAAGCCAAGGUUUCAUUAGCAUUAAAUUUACAACAAAAGGGAAGGUGUUGAGCCUUCAUCCUAGAGCAACAAGUAAUAUCAUAUCUCAAGCAUAGCUCCCAAGCAUACCAUUUUAACAAAUGAAUUUGAUCCCAUAAUAGUUACCCUUUUUGAGUCAAGCGAUAAUCCCGAAAGUAUUCACGUUGAUCCAAUGUGUAUCCCAUUAUAUAAUUUAAUGAGGUUUUCUCAGGAUUAUUGAAGAAGUGCAUAAUAUUUUCCACAUAACGAGCAUCGAGGGUUUUAGGAGGUUUCCCAUCUCCAUGAAUAGCAAGUACACCUAAUUUUUUUGGUAUUUCGUGUUUCAUAUCCAUAACUAAAGAUAGAGAACAACUUAUAAUAGCAAAUAAAUCUACUUAGUGAUAAAGCAAACAAGCACACAUGAGAAUAUUCACCCCACGCUAUCUCUCCCCAGCAACGGCGCCAAAAAAAGGUCUUGAUAACCCACAAGUAUAGGGGAUCAAUUGUAGCCUUUCUCAAUAAGUAAGAGUGUCGAACCCAAUGAGGAGCUAAAGGUAGGACAAAUAUUUCCUCAAGUUCUAUCGACCACCGAUACAACUCUACGCACACUUUACGUUCGCUUUACCUAGAACAAGUAAGAAACUAGAAGUACUUUGUAGGCGUGAUAGGAUAGGUUUGCAAGAACACACAAAUAAAAACUAGGGGCUGGUUAGAUAAAUAAAAAAUUAUGUUAGUCUAACAAGUGUGGAAAAGUGGUGGUAGGAGUUGCGGAAUUGUCCCUAAGCAAUUGACUACGUUACUAGACCGAUAGCAAGUUUUAUGUGGGAGAGGCCACUGCUAGCAUGUCAUCCCUUACUUGGAAUUCUAUGCACUUAUGAUUGGAACUAUUAGCAAGCAUCCGCAACUACUAACAUUAAUUAAGGUAAAACCCAACCAUAGCAAUAAGAUAUAUUGGUCCCCCUUCAAUCCCGUAUGCAUCAAUUUCUAUGCUAGGCUGAAGCUUCUGUCACCCUUGCCCUCCAAUACAUAGUCUUAUUAACAUACUACUAACCCUAUGGUGUGAUCCACGCGCGCGCUCAUAUGAUGGGAACCAAAGGACAACAACAUAACCACAAGCAAAUUAAACCAAUCAUAGCAAUUCAUCAAUCACCGAUAGGACAACGAAAAUCUACUCAGACAUCAUAGGAUGGCAACACAUCAUUGGAUAAUAAUAUGUAGCAAAAAGCACCAUGUUCAAGUAGAGGGUACAACAGAUUGCGGGAGAAUGGACCGCUGAAUAUAGAUGGGGGAAGGUGAUGGAGGUGUUGGUGAGGAUGACGAAGGUGUUGGUGUAGAUCGCCGUCACACGAUGAUGUCCCGGGCGGCGUUCCGGCGCCGCCGGGAGAGAGGGGGAGAGAGUCCCCCUUCUUCUUCUUCUUCCUUGACCUCCUCCCUAGAUGGGAGAAGGGUUUCCCCUCUGGUCCAUGGUCUCCAUGUCGGAGGAUGGCGAGAGCCCCUCCGAGAUUGGAUCUCUCUCUCUCUCUGUGUCCUUCUCUUUCUGCGCUCCCAGAUUCUGCCUUUCACCGUUUCUUAAAUUCCCAGAGAUCCGUAACUCCGAUUGGGCUGAAAUUUUAACACGAUUUUCUUCCGGAUAUUAUCUUUCUUGCAACGAAAGAAGGGCCCCAACCUCCUUAGGGAUUGGUCACAAGCCUGCCAGCCGCGGCCUAGGGGGGCGCCUCCUGGGCUUGUGACCUCCUCGGGCAUCGUUUCGCAUAGAUUCUUCUUCCCAAAAAUCAUAAAUAUUCCAAAAAAAAUCCCCAUAGGUUUUUUAUUGCGUUUGGACUUCGUUUGGUAUGGAUAAUCUGCGAAACAAAAAAACAUGCAACAAACAUGAACUGGCACUGGGCACUGGAUCAAUAUGUUAGUCCCAAAAAUAGUAUAAAAAGUUGCCAAAAGUAUAUGAAAGUUGUAGAAUAUUGGCAUGAAACAAUCAAAAAUUAUAGAUACGACGGAGACGUAUCACUUGGCAGAUAAGGAGGUUGGCAAUGUCAACAAAAGUAUAUUUGAUAUACAUGUUAUUGACGUGUGCCUUACUAGGGCUCGUUGUAGCUCCUGGGUAUUUGAUACCAUUUCAGUUGCUAAUAUUAGUAACUCGGAACAGGAGUUGUGGUAUAAAUGGAGACUAGCUAAGGGAGAGGUGUAGAUGUGUGUUGGAAGUGUUUUCAAGGUUGAUGUGAUAACCAUCACACACUCCAUCUACCUUCGGGAUUAGUGGUAAACCUAAAUAAAUGUUAUUUGGUGUCUGCAUUGAGCAUGAACAUUAUAUUGAUUUUGUUCAUUGCGAACGAUUAUUUACGUAAGUGAGAGAAUAAUGGGUUAUUCUGUUUACAUGAAUAAUAUCUUUUAUUAUCAUGCACCCAAUGUGAAUGGUUUAUUGAAUCUCGAUCGCAGUGAUACACAUGUUCAUAGUAUUGAUGCGAAAAGACACAAAGUUAGUAAUGAUAUUACCACUUACUUGUGGCACUGCCGCUUAGGUCAUAUUGGUAUAAAACGCAUGAAGAAACUCCAUGCUGGUAGAUCUUUUGGACUCGCUUGAUUUUUAAUCGCUUGAGACAUGCAAAUCAUGCUACAUGGGCAAGAUGAAUUAAUGCCUCGUUUUCCUGUGAGAUGGAACGGGCAAAUAACUUAUUGGAAAUAAUACAUUUUGAUGUAUUUAAUCCAAUGAGUGCUGAAGCACGCAGUGGAUAUCGUUAUGUUCUUACCUCACAGUUGAUUUGAGUAGAUAUGGGUAUAUUUACUUCAUGAAUCACAAGUUUUAAAUGUUGAAAAGUUCAAGCAAUUUUAGAGUGAAGUUCAAGAUCGUCGUGACAAGAGGAUGAAAUGUCUACGAUGUGAUCGUAGAGGUGAAUAUCUAAGUCAUGAGUUUGGUAUACAUUUAAGACACUGUGGAAAUUAUUUCACAACUCAUGCCACCCGGAACACCAUAGUGUGAUGGUGUGUCCGUACGUCGUAGCCAUGCCCUAUUGGAUAUGGUGCAUACUAUGAUGUCUCUUAUCGAUUUGCCACUAUUGUUUUGGGAUUAUGCAUUAUAGACAACCACAUUCAAUUUAAAUAGGGAACCAUAUAAUUCCAUUGAGAUGACAUCGUAUGAACUAUGGUUUGGCAAGAGGACGCUUGAUAAAGACUUUCAAUAAAGACAUACCUUGACAAGAUUUUGAAGGAGUUCAAAAUGGAUCAGUCAAAGAAGGAGUUCUUGACUGUAUUGCAAGGUGUGAGUUUGAGUAAGACUCAAAGCCUGACCACGGUAGACGAAAGAGAAAGGACGAAGGUCGUCCCCUAUGCCUUAGCCGUAGGCUCUAUAGUAUGACAUGCUAUGUACCGUACCCGAUGUGUGCCUUGCCAUGAGUCUGUCAAGGGGUACAAGAGUGAUCCCGGAGUGGAUCACUGAACAUUGGUCAAAAAUAUCCUUAGUAACUUGAGAACUAAGGAAACGUUUCUUGAUUAUGGAGGUGAUAAAAGAGUUCGUCAUAAACGGUUACAUAGAUGCAAGCUUUGACACCAAUCCAGAUGACUGUGAGUAGCAAAAUAGAUUUUUAUAGUGGAGCGGUCAUUUGGAAUAGUUCCAAGUGGAGCGUGGUAGCAGCAUCUACAACAUCACAUAGAGAUUUAUAAAGUACACACGGAUCUAAAUGCUGCAGACUCAUUGACUAAAGCCUCUCUCACUAGCAAAACAUGAUCAAACCCCGAAAUUUAUUGGGUGUUAAUCACAUGGUGAUGUGAACUAGAUUAUUGACUCUAGUGCAAGUGGGANNNNNNNNNNUGAAUUAUGCCAUAGAGGCAAUAAUAAAUUAGUUAUUAUCAUAUUUCCUUGUUCAUGGUAAUCUUUUAUUAUCCAUGCUAUAAUUGUAUUGAUUGGAAACUCACAUACAUGUGUGGAUACAUAGACAAACACAAUGUCCCUAGUAAGCUUCUAGUAAACUAGCUCGUUGAUCAAAGAUGGCUAAAGUUUGCUAGCCAUAGACAUGAGUUGUCAUUCGAUAAGAGGAUCACAAUGUUAGGAGAAUGAUGUGAUGGACAAGUCCCAACCGCAAGCAUAGCAUAUGAUCGUGUCAGUUUAUUGCUAGUGUUAUAUUCAUGUCAAGUGUUUGUUCCUACGGCCAUGAGAUCAUGCAACUCACUCACACCAGAGGAAUGCCUUGUGUGUAUCAAAUGUCACAACGUAACUGGGUGACUAUAAAGGUGCUCUACAGGUAUCUUUGAGGGUGUCUGUUGGGUUGGCAUGGAUCGAGAUUGGGGUUUGUCGCUCCGUAUAACGAAGAGGUAUAUCUCGGCCCACUCGGUAAUACAACAUCACAAGAAGCUUGCAAGCAAUGUGACUAAGAAGUUAGUCAUGGGAUCUUGUAUUACAGAACGAGUAAAGAGACUUGCCGGUAACGAGAUUGAACUAGGUAUGGAGGUACCGAUGAUCGAAUCUCGGGCAAGUAGCAUACCGAUGGACAAAGGGAACUGCAUACAGGGUUGAUUGAAUCCAUGACAUGGUGGUUCGACCGAUAAAGAUCUUCGUAGAAUAUGUAGGAGCCCAUAUGGGCAUCCAGGUCCCGCUAUUGGUUAUUGACCGGGGAGUGUCUUGGUCAUGUCUGCAUAUUUCUUGAAUCCACAAGGUCUGCACACUCAUGGUUUAGUGACGAUUUGGUAUUAAUGAAUUAUGUAUGAUGGGGACCGGAAGUUAUUCGGAGUCCAGUAUGAUAUCCCAGACAUCAUGAGGAGUUCCGGAAUGGUCCGGAGACAAAGAAUGAUAUAUAGGAAAGAUGUAUUCGGGUUCCGGCAAGGUUUUAGGUGUUUCUCGUAUUAUACCGGGAGUGUCGAAAGGGUUCCAGGGUCCAAUGGGAGGGGCCCACCCAUCCCGGGGGGGCACAUGGACUGAAGAGGUGGCGCACGAACCCCUGAUGGGCUAGGCAGCCGAUCCCAAGGGCCCAUGCGCCCCAAUGGUGGUAGGUGGGAGGAGUCCUACACGAGAGAGGCUCCUCCCUAGGGCGCGCUCCACCUCCCUUGUAGAAGGUGGACACCUCCUUGGCCACCGGCCCUAGGGGAAAACCCUAGGGCACCACCCCUCCUCCCUUCCCCCAAUAUAUAGUGGGGAGGGGAGAGGACAGACGCACCAUAAGCCACGACGCAGCCUCUCCCUCUCCCUUGAGAUCAGUUUCUCGUCUAGAUCGUCGCGGUAGUGCUUCGCAAAGCCCUACCGAGGCAGCCCCACCACCACCGCCGCCACGCCGUCAUGCUGUGAGAGAACUCAUCUACCUCUCCGCCCUUGCUUGCUGGAUCAAGGAGGCGGAGAUGUCAUCAGGCUGUACGAGAGGAGAGAGAGCAGCCGCACCAUAAGCCACGGUGCAACAUCUUCCUCUCCCUCUAGAUUAGUUUCUCGUGUAGAUCGUCAUGGUAGAGUUUGGUGAAGCCAUACCGGGGCAACCCCACCACCAUCGCCACCAUGUCGUUGUGCUGCCGGAGAACUCAUCUACCUCUCCGCCCUCGCUUACUGGAUUAAGGAGGCGAAGACGUCAUCAAGUUUUACAUGUGCUGGACGCGGAUGUGCCAUACCUUCAGCGCUAGAUCGGACGGAUCGUGAUUGGAUCGCGAAGACGUUCGGCUACAUCGGCCGUGUUAUAUACACUUCUGCUUAGCGAUCUACAAGGGUAUGUAAAUGCAAUCUCUCCUCUCGUAGAUGUUCAUCUCCUAGAUUCAUCUUGGUAAGCGUAGGAAUUUUUUUUCCCAUGCAACGUUCCCCAACAAACAAUAGUCAUUUAUUUCAUUUGGUAUUCUCAGGUCAUGCCUUGCUUUCUAAAAAAAUGAUUUCUUGAAGAAGUUGAGUCUUAAAACAUCUGAUAUAACUGAAGUUUGAGCUUCCUUGAGAUAAAGUAGGAGCUUUCGGUAUCAAGGUCGGGAAUUUAGAAGAAAUGACUUUUUUCGGAGGCCACAAUUGUACCAUAUUUAUAAUAGUGUACGCCCUUUCAGGUGAUAUGCAAAUUUACCUCAAUUUAGAUGCCCAUCCUAAUGGAUCCAUUAGUGUGCAACUAUCCAAUGAUACCUUCACCCUACAUUUACAAUAAUCUAUGAGAUGGAGUACAAUAAGCUAUUAGAUGGAGCACAUUUAUAGUUGAAGGAUAACAUAGCAUAAAUUCAAAAAAAUUCCUACGCAUGUUCAGAUCUUCCUAUGGAGAGACCAGCAACGAGAGAGGGGUAAGAGCAUCUUCGUACCUUUGAAGAUCGCUAAGCGGAAGCGUUGCUAGAACGCGGUUGAUGGAGUCGUACUCGCAGCGAUUCCGAUCUAGUGCCGAACAACGGCACCUCCGCGUUCAACACACGUGCAGCCCGGUGACGUCUCCCGCACCUUGAUCCAGCAAGGAGGAGGGAGAGGUUGGGGAAGAAGACCAGCAACACGACGGCAUGGUGUUGGUGGAGAGACGAGGUCUCCCGGCAGGGCUUCGCCAAGCGCCGGCACAGAGGAGGAGGAAGAAGUGCAGGGCUGCGCCGAGGGAGAGGGAAAACUGUGUCCUCCAAAGGCCAAAAGUGCCCACUAUAUAUAGGGGAAGGGGAGAGGGGGUGCCACCCCUAGGGUUCCCACCCUAGGGGGUGCGGCAGCCCUCCCAGAUGGGGUUUGUGGCGGCCAGAUGGGGAGGAGGGGUGGCGCACCACUCUGGUGGGCCUAAGGCCCACCUAAGUUAGGGUUCCCCCCCUCUUUUUCUUUCCCCUGCGCCAUGGGAUGAGUGGGGAGGCGCACCAGCCCAACUAGGGGCUGGUUCCCACCCCCACUUAGCCCAUCUUACCUCUUGGGGUCGCAGCCCCCCUUCGGUGGUCCCCCGGGACCACCUCCGGUGGUCUUGGUGGUCCCGGUACGUUACCGGUGAUGCCCGAAACACUUCCGGUGUCCGAAACCAUCCGUCCUAUAUAUCAAUCUUUACCUCCGGACCAUUCCGGAGCUCCUCGUGACGUCCUGGAUCUCAUCCGGGACUCCGAACAAUAUUCAGUAACCAACCAUAUAACUCAAAUACGCAUAAAACAACGUCGAACCUUAAGUGUGCAGACCCUGCGGGUUCGAGAACUAUGUAGACAUGACCCGAGAGACUCCUCGGUCAAUAUCCAAUAGCGGGACCUGGAUGCCCAUAUUGGAUNNNNNNNNNNNNNNNNNNNNNNNNNNNNNNNNNNNNNNNNNNNNNNNNNNNNNNNNNNNNNNNNNNNNNNNNNNNUGGUAUGUUACUUGCCCGAGAUUCGAUCGUCAACAUCCGUAUACCUAUUUCAAUCUCGUUUACCAACAAGUCUCUUUACUCGUUCCGUAAUACAAGAUCCCGCAACUUACACUAAGUUACAUUGCUUGCAAGGCUUGUGUGUGAUGUUGUAUUACCGAGUGGGCCCCGAGAUACCUCUCCGUCAUACGGAGUGACAAAUCCCAGUCUCGAUCCAUACUAACUCAACGAACACCUUCGGAGAUACCUGUAGAGCAUCUUUAUAGUCACCCAGUUACGUNNNNNNNNNNNNNNNNNNNNNNNNNNNNNNNNNNNNNNNNNNNNNNNNNNNNNNNNNNNNNNNNNNNNNNNNNNNNNNNNNNNNNNNNNNNNNNNNNNNNGAUGUGCCUUUGAAUGGUGCAUUUUGAACACACAAAAAGUAUGGAGUUCAAAUAAUUUCAAAAAAAUGAAAUCCCUUUGUAAGAGAUGAGUUCUCAUUCGAAACCCUAAUACUUCGAGAGAGAUUGUCUGUUUUGUACACGAAGUGCAUCCAGUUUUUGUCGUAGCCCUCUCAACUUUUUAACACAUGCUAUGUGGGUGAAAUGAUGAUAGCAUGCCAACUUUCAACAUUUUCAGAGUUCAUUUGUAGUGCUUUUCAAUUUCAGGGUCAACUAGCUCAAAAAAAUAAUAAGUAAAUGCACGAAGCAUACCAAAUGAAGUAAGAAAUUGUUGAAGUUUUCUGAUGUGCCUUUGAAUGGUGCAUUUUGAACACACAAAAAGUAUGGAGUUCAAAUAAGUUCAAAAAAUGAAAUCCCUUUGUAAGAGACGAGUUCUCGUUCGAAACCCUGAUACUUCGAGAGAGAUUGUUCGUUUUGUACACGAAGUGCAUCCAGUUUUUGUCGUAGCCCUCUCAACUUUUUAACACAUGCUAUGUGGGUGAAAUGAUGAUAGUAUGCCAACUUUCAACAUUUUCAGAGUUCAUUUGUUGUGCUUUUCAAUUUCAAACACUUUUCAAUUGAAAAUAACAAAAUAGUUNNNNNNNNNNCUUUUGAAAAUAGAAAAUAGUUUUAAAUUAUUUAUUCAAUUUCAAACACUUUUCAUUAUCAUAGUUUUGUCAAAUUCUCAAAUAUGCAAAAAGAAUUUUAAUAAACAUAGUUUUUAAUUGAAAAUAACAAAAUAGUUAAUUUUGAAAAUAGAAAAAAAUUGAAACUAUAUGAGAAUUUGUAAAGAAACUUAAACCUAAAUUCAAAGUGAGCUCACUUUGAAUUCAGGUUUAAUUUUCUCCACAAUUUCAAAUAUAGUUUCAAUUUUUAAAUUUAUAGUCAGUUUAGGCCCGUAAGCCUGCUUUAGAGAGGAGCUCGAUGGAGUAGCUGCGACGGGGCUUAUAAACAAGUGUUAGUCCCCCUCGUUGGGCGAGGUGGGACUAAACUUAUUGUGCAGCCGAGGAGGGGCUUUAGUCCCGGGUGGAGCCACGACCCGGGAGUAAAGCUCCUCGCCUGCCGCCUGCCGAGGAGGGGCUUUAGUCCCGGUGCGUGGCUCCAACCGGGACUAAAGACCCCUUUAGUCCCGGUUGGAGCUCCGCACCGGGACUAAAGGCCCCUGCUUCCCGCCUUUUGGUCUGCCGAAAAAGGGCCUUUAGUCCCGGGGUGUGGCUCCACCCGGGACUAAAGGGGGUCUUUAGUCCCGGUUCGAGCCCCGAACCGGGACUAAAGAUCCACCUAUAUAAGCGGGAGUUAGAAAAAUUCCAACCCAAAAUCAUUCGUUUCUCUUCUUCUUCCUCUCAUUCUCCUGCCCAGCGCGGCACACCGACGACCUCGCCGACGACGUCAGGCUGCCCGCCGUCCUCCUCGCCGCCGCCUGCCGUCCUCCUCGCCGUCGCCGUCAUCCUCCUCGCCGCGGCCGUCCUCCUCGCCACGCGCCGCCGUCCUCCUCGGCGCGCGCCGUCGACACCUCCGGCCGGUAAGCCCCCCGCCCCCUCCUCCCCAACACUCCGGACAGUAGAAGAAAAGAAGAAAAAGGAGAAGAAAAGAAGAAAAAGGAGAAGAAAGGAAGAAAAAGGAGAAGAAAGGAAGAAAAAGGAGAAAAAGGGAAGAAAAAGGAGAAGAAAAGAAGAAAAGGAGAAGAAAAGAAGAAAAAGCGAAGGAGAAGAAAAGAAGAAAAAGGAGAAGAAAAGAAGAAAAAGGGAAGAAAGGAAGAAAAAGGGGAAGAUAGGAAGAAAAAGGAGAAGAAAGGGAGAAAAAGGAGAAGAAAGGAAGAAAAAGGAGAAGAAAGGAAGAAAAAGGAGAAGAAAAGAAGAAAAAGAAAAAGAUUUUUUUGUCAUUUAAUUCCUAUUGUUAUUAGGUUUUUGCUAGAUUAUUAGGGUUAGUAAUAUUUAGAAUUAGGUUAGGGUUACAAGAAGAAGAAAUAUGAACAAAAAUAAGAAAAUAAGAUUAGGAAAAAGGAAAAUAAGAAGAGGAGGAGAAGAAAAUAAGAAAAAGGAGAAUAAGAAGAGGAGGAGAGGAGAAUAAGAGGAAAAAUAGAAGAAGAGGAGAAGUAGAAGAAGAGAAAAAAUUAGAAGAGGAGGAGAGAAGAAGUAGAAGAAGAGAAGAGGAGAAGUAGUAGAAGAAGAGGAGAAGUAGAAGUAGAAGAAGAAGUAGAAGAAGAGGAAAAAUUCGGUUAGGGUUACAAGAAGGAGAAAUAUUUUUUUUGUCAUUUAAUUUUGCUAUUGUAUAGUGUAUAUGCUUAAGUGUUAAUAGUGUUUCUUAGAUUAUUGCUUAAUUUUGCUAUUGUAUAUGCUUAAGUGUUAAUAGUUUAAUUUUGCUAUUGUAUAUGCUUAAGUGUUAAUAGUUUAUUUUUAGCAAGAAAAUUAAUAGAAUUAGUUUAUUUUUUUAGUUCAUUUUACGAUGCCUAUCCCGCAUCCUCGUCGUCGACUCGGCGGAGGACACCUGCUUGAUCAGAGGGGCCCUGUCCGGGACUGGGCUCCGCCCGGCUGGUAUUGGGAGGUGCUACCUUCUGGGGGGCGUAGGUUGGUGAGGAGCCAGCCCGUUGUUGACCCGAUCCUUGUUUGGUGGCGGUCGCGUGGGCCAGUGACGGUGCCGAGGCUUCCGGACACCGCGGAGGUGGUACGUCACCGUGUCAGCGAGGAGGAUGAGCACUUCCGCCGCUACAUGGUUGCGUUGGAGGGCAGGUUCGAGCAUACCUGGCAGGUUCUUCGGGGAUCUCACUGGAGCUAUGAUCCUGUGAUGGUUCCUUCUCUUUGGGUGUCCAUCGCCAGCGACGAUACCCGUCGGGCGCUACGGUUCUAGAUGUAUCAGUGAUGCUAUAUGUAUGAUAGUAUUCGAGGAGUAUUAGUGAUAAUAUUCGACGAUGUACGGACAAAAGAGAUGAUGUAUUUGCUUGUAAUUGAAUGCAUGCUAAUUUGAAUACUACUUUAUUUUACGAUUUGGUUUUGCUUAUUGAAUGCUCAAAUUGGAAAAGUACUCCUACUUUGAAUACUAUGCAGAAAUCUAGGAGUCCCGGGUGGAGCCACGACCCGGGACUAAAGUUGUUUUGGAACGGAGUUCCUGAUAGAAUAAUGUGACAUAUAGAAGGGUAGAUGAGAUCAGGAAAAAUAGGAUCAUUUUCUACACAUCUAGAAUGUCGCCAUUUUGUUAAAUCCUUAAAGGUUAAGAGAAUCCGUUAGACAUAUUUUAGAGUUUAGGUUCUAGCCAAGACCCAGAACUAAAGGUCCUCCUAUAUAAAACGACACUUCAAAGUUUCCAACCCUCUUAUAUAGUUUGUUAGUUUCUUAGUUAAUCAAAUGUCCGUUUUUUGCAGAACUAUGGAUCCACAUAUCAGGAACCUCGAAAAGGAAGAAAUUCUCGAAGAUAUAAUCAAAGACGGCCCCGACGUUGAACCAGCUGAAUCUCCGUCGUCAUAUCUAAACCCCUCCGGAUAUGGAAUGGAGGUCGACCGACACGAAGAUGAAGCCGAUGGGGCAGGAGAUAGGUCCAGUGACGGAGAAGGUGAUAGCUCCACUGAUGGAGAAGCCGGUGAAGAAAUAAUAAAGUCCGGCGAGGUAUACAUAUGAAGUUCGACAAUCACUUGUAAUAUGUGAAAAAUAUUGGAGAUAGCUCUAUAUUGUAUACAUAUACAUUCAUUUGAUGAAUGUUUCUCCCUCUUAGGCCUCCACAUCGAGCAAAGCUACGAAACGAGGCCCGACUAGAAAGUUGGAUGCACGGACGCAUUACACCUUUGAGGUGAUAUUGCCUACAGGCGAACCCAAGCUUCCUAAGAAUGCUGCUGACACAUUCAAGAAGCAAUGCGGAGUUCUCAUUAGGGAUCACGUCCCGAUCAGCGUUCGGGAGUGGAACAAGCGCAAAGGGGCAGCCGAUAGUGACUAUGUCGCCGAAAGGUACAAAGAUAAUCUUUGGAAUGAUCUCAUGUCACAUUUCAACCUGCCAGAAUGUGAGAAUGAAGACGCCGCAGACAAAUUGAGGGCCAAAGUCAAGCAGUGGACUCUAAAGAAGAUGGCCGAACUGUUCCGUAGCUGGAAGAAGAAGCUAUGGAAAAACUAUCUGAAGACAAAGAAAGUGCCAGUAUUCGAGGGGUAUCUAGCCAAGCAGGCGAAUCACUGGAAGGCAUUUCAAGAGUACAAGGAGUCAGAAGAUGCCCAGGCAUUAUCAGAAAAGAACAAGAUAAAUGCCGACAAGAAGAAAUAUCACCACAAGCUGGGGACAGGGGGCCAUGAGACUGCCAUCCCAAAGUGGGAUAAGAAAGAGGAAGAUCUUCUAGCUAAAGGCAUCGUACCCGAACCACUCCGUGAUGAGUGGGAAUUGAGAGCAAGAAAUUGGUUCCUUGCGCAUGGUGGUUCGUACGACGAAGAAACAGGGGACCUCAUCUGCAGUGACGGUCUUAGGAUACCCAGGGAGAAUUGGAAAAGGAUAGUGAAAGAAAUUAAGGAGGGAAAAAGAAAGUUCACUGCAGAUAGAGAGAAAGAUUUGCUCACACUGGUCCUCGGCAAUGACGAACAUGGAGGACGAACGCGAGGCUUCGGUCCUUCUUACCCGUGGUGGCUUGGGUUUGCCAGAGACCAAGACACUUACAGAAGCCGAGAGAGAGCAAAGAAGCGGCAGCAGGAUGAGGAGAAUGAAAAGUUCAACUAGUUGCUUGCCAGGAUUAACGAGCAACAGAAGCAGAUUGAUGAGCUUAGAGGAGUAGCGCGCCAGGAAGAUCCUGCAUUUGAUAUUACCGGCGCCCCAUCUAAGCGGAAAAGCAGCGUGGCUGAAUCUGAGGCCCCGCCCGACGAUGCACGAAGAAUGAUAGAGGGCGGUCCCGGCUACCCCGUGGAUGGAAUCAAGGAGUCAACAUCAUGUGAACUCCAUCAGAAAUUCAAGAACAUAUCCAUAAAGGUGGCCGUCGGACAAGCUUUACCUUCUGGCCCUGAUGCACGCUGGCAUGGCCGUGAGAUUCCAGCUGGCUUUGCUAAAGUCGGGGUGGAUGAAAUCAUGCUGGGGUUUCAUGAUAUGGAGCUCGACAUAGCUGGACCCGAAGAUGAGAGGACACUCGGAGAAGUACUGGGUGGAGUCAUCCUAUGGGACAAGAACUACAUCAAGCUUCCAGGCUCGGCCCCAAGGACAACACCGCCUCCGAGUCGUCGUAGGUCACCUACACCUCCAUCACCUCCAAGCCCUCCACAUGACGUCGGCCAGCACAAGACGAGUCCAUCUCGAUCACCACCGCCGGACUUGGGUCGUCCGUCUCCGCCGCCGCCCGCUCCAGAUACUAAGCGGAAGCGUGCCAGCAAGAACGCUCCGCCGACGAUUUCUAAGCGAUGGAGCCCCCCAAAGCGCAAACUGUCGCCCCUCCCAAAGGUAGCUCAUGCUAAUUUUCCUAUCAGAGCUUAUGAUCGUACCCCCGAGGAAGACGCCAGGAUAGCAAAGGAACAUCAUGAUGCGCAGAUGAAAAAGAAGGAACCCGAGCCCCGCCCGGAAUACACCGAGAAGCAAAUAGCAUUUGCAAAAUACUUCACGACCCUUCCAUCACAGUAUGACUUACACCAUAAGCCUGAUGAAUAUACACGCACAUUGCAGAAGGAAGUGAAAAAGAGCAGAUCACGUGCAAGUGCAAGUGGGAGCAAAUCAAGCUCAACUACAAGCAAGAAAAAAUCAGACGUUCCUCAGCUUGGACAACAGGCCAAACAGUCGAUCCCACCCCUCACGGUGUUACCCGAGAAUGUCCCCCCUCCGGUGCAGGGGCAAUAUUCGUAAUUAGCAAAGAAGUGGGCGGAUGAAUGGGGUAUCCCGGUUGAAGACAUUCUGGCUUCCCAAGACGACAGGUUACCCAAGGCUGUGGUAGCCCCUAAGCCACAGUUUGUCAUGGGAGCGCCUUUGGUCAGCAAAGAUGAUCUCCCAACAAAUAUGCGUUACUUGCAUACAUGGUACUUAAGUGAAUCAAAGAAUGGGAGAACGAUGAUCGUGGUGAGUGUCCCACGGGAGUACUACGGCCGCCCCGAAGAAAUCCAUAUCGACUUUGAUGAACUCUUCCAGAUGUACAAUGGCGACGCCCUCGACAAAUCGCUUAUGAGUUGCUAUUCUCUGUAAGUUUUUCAAUUCGGUGUCUACAUAUAACUUGUUUAGUUAUUUCAAUUCAUUGUCUAUAUAUAACUUGUACUCUAUUAUGCAGAAUGAAGAUUCUGGAUUGUAAAAGUAGGAACAUCCUAAAUAUUGGGUUUAUUGACCCAGAUAAAAUACAUAUAGCGACGCUAACUGAUAAACCCAAGGAGACGGAGGAAAACCUUCUAAGGUUUCUAACAGAUCAAAAUUUCUGUGACCACAUACUGUUUCCAUACAACUUCAGGUGAGGGUCUUUACUCUGUUGUGUCCAUUCACUUAUAAGUGUAAUUGAUAAGUUACUGACACACACACACAUAUAUAUACAUGUGCAGCUUCCAUUGGAUUCUGUUGGACAUUCAAAUUGAUAAGGGAAGAGUUGAUGCCUUCGACCCAUUAUCGAGACCCUUGGAACAGUUCCAAAGCCUGCAGGACAUGCUCCAAGGGUAAUUUCAAUCAUUCUUGCGCUCUAUCGGUCUCUUUUGAUGAUUUUCUGAUAUAUCAAUUAAUGAAAAACUUAGCAAAUCAUUAUCCUUGUCGGCCAGGGUUUGGAAGCGGUUCAAGUGCGUGACUCCCGGUAUCGAGCCUGAGAAGCUGACCUUUAGAGCGGCUCAGGUAAGUACUAGUAUAAUAUACUUCUAUUUUCAAUACAUUUAUGAUGCUAGAUUAUUAUUUUGAUUAUAUAUAUUCUAUUCUCGUAAAGUGCGACCAGCAGCCACGGGGGACGCAUCUAUGCGGAUACUAUGUUUGCGAGACCAUUCGCACGUUUACCUCUGAGCACAAGGAUCACAGAUUCGACGUAAGCAAUGAACAUUCACACCUCUAUUUUUACCCGUCAUUCUUUGUUAUCAUGAUUAAUAUUCAUAUUCAUCUCCUCUUCUUAUAUAGUACACGGCCAUGAGGGAGAAGGUCCUACCAGAGCAACGCGUGAUUGCUGUUGCAGAGGAGCUUGCGACCUUUCUGAGGACGGAAGCUAUAGAUGACAAAGGACGAUUUAGUGUAGCUAGGGGCCAUUACUGAUGUUCGUGUUGGGAACGUCGCAUGGGAAACAAAAAUUUUCCUACGCGCACGAAGUCCUAUCAUGGUGAUGUCCAUCUACGAGAGGGGAUUUCCGANNNNNNNNNNAACGUCGCAUGGGAAACAAAAAAUUUCCUACGCCCACGAAGUCCUAUCAUGGUGAUGUCCAUCUACGAGAGGGGAUUUCCGAUCUACGUACCCUUGUGGAUCGCACAGCAGAAGCGUUAGUGAACGCGGUUGAUGUAGUGGAACGUCCUNNNNNNNNNNNNNNNNNNNNNNNNNNNNNNNNNNNNNNNNNNNNNNNNNNNNNNNNNNNNNNNNNNNNNNNNNNNNNNNNNNNNNNNNNNNNNNNNNNNNUCCCACUUGCACUAGAGUCAAUAAUCUAGUUCACAUCACCAUGUGAUUCCAACGAAUCCAACACCCAUAUAGUUAUGGGGUCUGAUCACGUUUUGCUCGUGAGAGAGGUUUUAAUCAACGUUCUGAAACUUUCAGAUCCGUGUGUUCUUUACAAAUCUUUAUGUCAUGUUAUAGAUGCUGCUACUAUGUGCUAUUCGGAAAUACUCCAAAUAUCUACUCUACUAUACGAAUCUGUUUCACUACUCAUAGUUAUUCAGAUUAGUGUCAAAGCUUGCAUCGACAUAACCCUUUACGACGAACUCUUUAACCACCUCCAUAAUCGAGAAAAAUUCCUUAGUCCAUCAGUUACUAAGGAUAAAUUUUGACCGCUGCUAGUGAUUCAAUCAUGGAUCACUCUCUGUACCUCUCAACAGACUUUGAGUCAAGGCACUCAUCAGGUGCGGUACCCAGCAUGGCAUACUUCAGAUUCUACGGCCAAGGCAUAGAAGACGACCUUCGUCUAUUCUCUUUAUUCUGCCGGGGUCGGGUUUUGAGUCUUACUCAAAAUCACACCUCACAACGCAACCAAGAACUCCUUCUUUGCUGAUCUAUUUUGAACUCCUUCAAAAACUUGUCAAGGCAUGCAUCUUGUUGAAACUUCUAUUAAGCGCUUUCGAUCUAUCUUCAUAGAUCUUUGAUGCUCAACGUUCAAGUAGCGCAAUCCAGGUAUUCCUUUGAAAACUCCUUUCAAACAACCUUGUAUGCUUUACAGAAAUUCUACAUUACUUCUGAUCCACAAUAUGUCAACCACAUAUACUUAUCAGAAAUUCUAUAGUGCUCCCACUCACUUCUUUGGAAAUACAAGUUUCUCAUAAACCUUGUACAAACCCAAAAUCUUUGAUCAUCUCAUCAAAGUGUAUAUUCCAACUCCGAGAUGGUUGCACCAGUCCAUUGAAGGAUUGCUGGAGCUUGCAUACUUGCUAGUAUCUUUAGGAUCGACAAAACCUCCNNNNNNNNNNUCAACGUUCAAGUAGAUCAAUCCAGGUAUUCCUUUGAAAACUCCUUUCAAACAACCUUAUAUGCUUUACAGAAAUUCUACAUUACUUCUGAUCAACAAUAUGUGUACCACAUACACUUAUCAGAAAUUCUACAGUGCUCCCACUCACCUCUUUGGAAAUACAAGUUUCUCAUAAACCUUGUACAAACCCAAAAUCUUUGAUCAUCUCAUCAAAGUGUAUAUUCCAACUCCGAGAUGUUUGCACCAGUCCAUUGAAGGAUCGCUGGAGCUUGCAUACUUGCUAGUAUCUUUAGGAUCGACAAAACCUCCUGGUUGUAUCACAUACAAUGUUUGCUCAAGGGAACCGUUGAGGAAACAAUGUUUUGACAUCCUAUGUGCAAUAUUUCAUAAAUAAUGCAGCAACUACUAACAUAAUUCUAACAGACUUUUAGCAUCGCUAUGAGUAAGAAAGUCUCAUCAUAGUCAACUGUUUGAUCUUGUCAGAAACAUCUUUGCGACAAGUCGAGCUUUUCUUAAUAGUGACUUAUCACCAUCAUCGUCUGUCUUCCUUUUAAAGAUCCAUCUUUACUCAAUAGUCCUAUGACCAUCAAGUAGUUCUUCCAAAGUCUACACUUUGUUUUCAUACAUGGAUCCUCUCUCGGAUUUCAUGGCCUCCAGCCAUUUGUCGGAAUCCGGGCCCACCAUUGCUUUCUCCAUAACUCGUAGGUUCAUUGUUGCUCAACAACAUGACCUCCAAGACAGGGUUACCAUACCACUCUGCAGUAGUACGCGACCUUGUCAACCUACGAAAUUUGUAGUAACUUGAUUCGAUGCUCGAUGAUCACCAUCAUCAGCUUUCACUUCAAUUGGUGUAGGCGCCACAGGAACAACUUCCUGCGCCCUGCUACACACUAGUUGAAGUGAUGGUUCAAUAACCUUAUCAAGUUCUACCACCCUCCCACUCAAUUCUUUCGAGAGAAACCUUUCCUCGAGAAAGGAUCCGUUUCUAGAAACAAACACUUUGCUUUCGGAUCUGAGAUAGGAGAUGUACCCAACUGUUUUGGAUAUCCUAUGAAGAUGCAUUUAUCCGCUUUGGGUUCGAGCUUAUCAGACUGAAACUUUUUCACAUAAGUGUGGAAGCCCCAAACUUUCAAGAAACGACAGUUUAGAUUUCUCUAAACCUCAGUCUAUACUGUGUCAUCUCAACGGAAAUACGCGGUGCCCUAUCUAAAGUGAAUGCGGUUGUCUCUAAUGCAUAACCCAUAAACGAUAGUGGUAAUUCGAUAAGAGACAUCAUAGCAUGCACCAUACCAAAUAGUGCGUGGCUAUGACGUUCAGACACAUCAUCACACUAUGAUGUUCCAGGUGGCAUGAACUGCGAAACAAUUUCCACAUUGUAUUAACUGCGUACCAAAACUCGUAACUCAGAUAUUCAUCUCCAUGAUCAUAUCGUAGACAGUUUAUCCUCUUGUUACGACGAACUUCACUCUGAAACAGAAUUGAACUUUUCAACAUUUCAGACUUGUGAUUCAUUAAGUAAAUACCCCUGUAUCUACUCAAAUCGUCAGUGAAAUAAGAACAUAAUGAUAUCCACUGCGUGCCUCAGCACCCAUUGGACUGCAUACAUCAAAAUGUAUCACUUCCAACAAGUUACUAUCUUGUUUCAUCUCAAUGAAAACAAGGCCUUGCUCAUGUGGUGUAAUUUGCAUGUCACUAGUGAUUCAAAAUCAAGUGAGUAUAAAGAUCCAUCAGCAUGGAGCCUCUUCAUGCAAUUUAUACCAACAUGACUCAAGCGGCAGUGCCACAAGUAAGUGGUACUAUCAUCAUUACCUCGUAUCUUUUGGCACCAAUAUCAUGAACAUGUGUAACACUACAAUCGAGAUUCAAUAAACCAUUGAAGGUGAUUAUUCAAGCAAAUAGAGUAACCAUUAUUCUCUUUAAAUGAAUAAUCCUAUUGCAAUAAACACGAUCCAAUCAUGUUCAUGCUUAACGCAAGCACCAAAUAACAAUUAUUUAGGUUUAACACCAAUCCCGAUGGUAGAGGGAGCGUGCGACGUUUGAUCAUAUCAACCUUGGAAACACUUCCAACACGUAUCGUCACCUCGCCUUUAGCUAGUCUCCGUUUAUGCCGUAGCUUUCAUUUCGUGUUACUAAUCACUUAGCAACCGAACCGGUAUCUAAUACCCUCAUGCUACUAGGAGUACUAGUAAAGUACACAUCAACAUCAUGUAUAUCAAAUAUACUUCUUUCGACUUUUGCCAGCCUUCUUAUCUACCAAGUAUCUAGAGUUGCUCCGCCUCAGUGACUGUUCCCCUCAUUACAGAAGCACUUAGUCUCGGGUUUGGGUUUAAUCUUGGGUCUCUUCAUUAGUGCAGCAAUUGUUUAGCCGUUUCACGAAGUAUCCCUUCUAGCCCUUGCCUUUCUUGAAACUUAGUGGUUUUUACUAACCAUCAACUAUUGAUGCUCCUUCUUGAUUUCUACUUUCGCAGUGUCAAACAUCGUGAAUCGCUCAAGGAUCAUUGUAUAUAUCCUUGAUAUGUUAUAGUUCAUCACGAAGCUCUCAAAGCUUGGUGGCAGUGACUUUUGGAGAACCAUCACUAUCUCAUCUGGAAGAUUAACUCCCACUUGAUUCAAGUGAUUGUCGUACUCAGACAAUCUGAGCACACGCUCAACGAUUGAGCUUUUCUCCUU
Molecule: long non-coding RNA, 74478 nt
Filed under: Hordeum vulgare
Lineage: Eukaryota; Viridiplantae; Streptophyta; Magnoliopsida; Poales; Poaceae
Description: long non-coding RNA (HVUL_LNC005479)
Source: RNAcentral